Molecule: long non-coding RNA, 56186 nt
Filed under: Eucalyptus grandis
Lineage: Eukaryota; Viridiplantae; Streptophyta; Magnoliopsida; Myrtales; Myrtaceae
Description: long non-coding RNA (EGRA_LNC000122)
Source: RNAcentral
UCCUAUUUUGCAAACAAUAACCAUUCAUCAAUGUACUAUAAGUGAAACUAUCAGGCAUUUUACCUAAUUGAAUCAUCUGGUUGAUUAUGGCCUCUGCUUCUACAAGCAUUCCCUCUUUACAAUGUGCAUCCACCAGAAUAUUGAAGGUUUGAACAUCCGGCAUGACUCUGCUUUGCACCAUAUGACUCAGCAGUCUUUGGGCCUCUUUCAAUUGGCCGGAAUUGCACACUCCUUGAAUGACAGAGUUAUAAGUAACGACAUCUGGUUCAAUUCCUGCCUCCAUCAUCUUCUCCAACAAGACCAUAGCAUCUUUCCAUUGGCCUAGCUUGCACAAGUAAUGAACCAAGGAGGUAUAAGUGAAUAUGUUGGGUUGGAAGCCUCCGCUUGUCAUCUCUUUCAACAAUAUGAGAGCAUCUUCCAUCUGGCCUACAUUGCACAGACCGUGGAUCAAGGAGUUAUAAGUAACAACAUCUGGUUUGAUACCUUUCUCGCUCAUGCUUUUGUGGAGUCUCAAGGCCUCUGUGAUCAAUCCCUCCUUGCAAAGACCAUUUAUUACUAUGUUGUAUGUGAAGGAAUUGAUGCUGCAGCUUCUCUCUUCCCAGUUCCUCAGCAAUUCGAUGGCCAAUCUGGUGUUACCCGCCCUGCAUAACCCCUUGGUGAUUAUCGCAUACGUGGUCUCACUAGGUUCGGGGCCAUUUCGUCCCAUAUCAUCGAGGAACCUCAGUGCUUGAUCAGUUUUGCCCUGAAUAAAGAGACCAUCAAUCAGGGUGUUCCACGUCACCACAUCGAUGUGAAACCCAAGCUUGAAGAUUCUGCCCAGAAUAGACAAGCCCAUAUCGACCCGCUUUAACCGGCAGAAGCAAUUUAUCCAAAUAUUGAGCAAGGCAACAUCACCCUCGAUCCCCAAAGAAGGCAGCUGCUCAAUCAAUCGGAUGGCAGUCGAGUAGUGCUUCAUCCUCACUAUAGCGCCCAACAGUAGACUGAAAUCCCAGGGGGAAGGCAAAGGGCUCGCCUUUAUCAUUUUACCGAAGCAACACAGGGCAUCACCGACACUCGUAAACACACCACCACCACCACCAGCUCUGCGAUUUGUCCUCACGCAACACAAGACCUGGUUGGGGUCGUCUAAAUUAGGGUUAGGGGUCGAGGAAAACCUCCGACGACGGUGAGACGAGAAAGGGAGAUGGAGGAUGGAAUGGGAUGUGGACUCGCUGGAGAUCGCAGCUGGAGCACCAAGAAGGAGGAAGAUGGAAGAAGCAGGGCAGAUAUUCGUUGGCUUCAUCGGUUGAUGACGAAUCUGAAAACUGAAAAGCUUCAGCUCAUGGCGCUCUCUCUAUCUCUCUCCCCGUCUCACUAUCAAGCUUUUAUACUCAGGCUCGGCUCUACCGUUUGUUGGUUAUAAUUAGGGGUGAGCAGCGGUCCAAGGUCAACCCUGGACCGACCUGAACUGGCCCGACCCUACUCGUCCUAGUUCGGUUCCCCGGGGACUGGGUUGGUCUUUGGUACUGAAAUUUCAAGAUCAACACUAUACGGGUUGGUUUUUGGUCCUAAGAGUUUUUGGUCGGUCUAAUCUUGGACCAACCAUAUAUAUUAUAUCAUAUUAUAUUAUUUAUAAUUCUUUUAUAUAUUCAAACCUAAAUAAAAUAUUUGUUAUAUUAUAUUAUAUUAUAUUAUAUUGAAAUGUUCUAUCCAUAAUUAAAAGUUCAAGUGAAUUAACAAGAUGUGAAGUUAUAUAUUUAUGGUUUAUAUUAAGUAUUUUGAACUUUUUAUGGUUCAAUUGUAUUUUACUACUGAAUUUCAGCUGUACUUUUCUUUUCAAUUUGUGUCAAAUGGUAGAAGUUUUUGAAGAGUAGAAUAGUACUACAGUUGCUACAGUGAUUUGCUAGUCAAGUGGUGUAAGCUCAUUUUUGGUUGAAUGGACUCUACAUGAUCAAAUGCAGGAAACGCUUUUGAAUAUAGUGUUAUGAAUAUUAAAGAUAGAUGAUUACAAGAACUUUCUAUAUUAUCUCAUAUCUCGAUGAGCGGUUAGCAUGUACAAAAUUUCUAUUAUUGUGUCAUCUUAAAUUUGCUAAAUAUGUAUUUGUAUUUAUAAUUUAGUUACACAAUACCGCAUUGUCGAUGGAUGUGUAAUUUGAAUUUGUAGGUUUGCUUUUUUAGGGAGUAUAAAAAAUAAGACGAAAAAAAUUAUCAAUCAGUCCUGGGUUGACCCUGGAACCGGACCAAACCCAUUGGGUCGGUCCGGUCCUUGGUCCCAGACUCAAUAGGGUCGGUCCUUGGUCCUAAAAAUUGAGGACCAACACUGUACGGGUUGGUCCUAAGAUUAAGGGGUGGCCAAGACCACCCGGACCAUGCUCACCCCUAGUUAUAAUAUCGAACGGAAAGAUGUAAGAUCUGGAUAGGGCAUGAUUUCAAAUGAUCUCGCAUCAUUAUUUACUGACGAUACAAAUUUUCUUUUAUCCAUUUUUUAAAUAAGUAAUACAAUUAAUCAUUUUCACCACAAAAUCAUAUUUGCAUUUUUCGUUCCUAGUGGCUCGUGUGCAUAGCUUUACUUCUCUUGCAAAUAGUUAAGACUUGCUGGAUCAUUAGACAUACUCAUAAAUAGUGUGAUAACUUAAUGAUAAGUAUCUAACAAUAUAUUUCAAUCGACUUAACUUGUAACUACGAUUGUGUAUGUUUGUACGGAUGAAUAGAUUAUAGCAUGUAACACGGAAUUUAACUCAUUCUAUGUCCCGAUCCAACAAUUGAAGUUUGAUUUGACAAAUAUUUCUGACUCAGUCAUUCCUAAUUCCACUACAAGGCCUUCAGCAUUCUGCUUCAUAAACCGCAAUCCUUCUUAGAAAUAUAGUUGUUCAAGGAUUUAAACAAAAACACCGGAGAAGAUGAGAGAGAGAGAGAGAGAGAGUAGUGACAGGCUAUGCCGUUAAAAUUUGAAAUUGAAACACGAAAUUUAUCCUAGGAGUACGUUUAACAAAUAACUCCACUAUAAUUAGCACAUUGCAUCUCUAUGUUACAACUCUCAAUUACAAGAAAAAGAAAUCAUAUAUGCCUAGUAACUAUUCAUGGACUUGAACCAAAAUUAUUAAUAAAAUAUGAGCUCAAACUAUAAAAACCUCAAAACUCCUCUAUGCCUUCCUAUUAAUUGGGAGUAUGAAUCACAUCCCCUACAUAUCAUAUAGUACGGAAAUUGUUGUUAGAGAGGCAAAGUGGCAAAAAAUAGGGAUGGAUUUGAGUGGGUCACAGAGUGAGAAAGAAGCAAUGGUGGGUGGCAACGAAUACUCCGGUGGUAGAUGACGACACUCGGGCUAGUCAUUGGUGACUACGAUUGGCGAGAGAGGCAAACAAGAACUAGAGGUCGAGAGGGGCAUCAAGCGUGAGUGAAUUAAUGGCAACGGGCUUUACCCAAAUGAAAACCAAAAUGAGUUUACUUUCAUUAUGAAACUCCAAUUAGUACUGCCUCAAACAUUUUUCCCAAAAGUCUUUUGAAAAAAAAAAACUAAAUUAAUACCUCAUGAUAUAUUUAUUCAAACUAAUUUCAUCUCAUAGAAUAUCCUAAUUGAUACCUCUCACACAAAUCUAUCCUCCGUUAAAAUGCAUACAUGUCAACAUACAUGAAUUUUCCACAUCGGAUCAAUCAUUUUUUACCUCUCAUUCAUCAUGUGUUGACAAAUAUGCAUUACAAGUAGAUUCUGGUUUUAUUUUUUGUGAGACGAAAUUAAUUUGCGACCAACGUGCCAUGCAUUUACUAAUUUGAGAUUUUUUUUUGUAAGGUUAGUAAUAUAUUGACUUUUAACCAAAAAUUAUACAACAGGGGGUUCUUGGCACCAAAAAACUUACUCACUUUGGAAUUUAUCGUGAUAUUAAUCCUUCAAAAUAUUAAAUGCUAUCAUCUGCUAGUGAAAUUUACUACCAUGAACAACAGUCUAAAAAUACUAAAGUUGAAUGGGAAAUAACUUUUGUACCUUCAAUCACUUCAAACAUAUUCAUGUUCACAUAUGCAUCCUCUCUGAAGUAAAUAUGGGUAGGUAGGACAUUGGAGGGAUCAGGGAUCAGGCUGUGUUAGGAAGAGAGCAAAAAGGAAAACCAAUAUCUCUCCCUCAAAGCACAUACACAAUAGAUUAAUCGGGAUUUAUGACCUCAACAUUAAUUAAAAAAAAGGAUUUUUGUGCUUAGCAAACUAAAGUAUUAACAUCUUUUUAAUUUAAGAGCAUCCUCACGCUGCUUGAUUGUUUAUAUGAAGCAUAAACCGACGGGUACAUGUACCAUGUAUGAAUAGAGAUUUCUUGCAUAACUUAGCUCAAGGCUGGUAGGGACCAGCCUUGGGCUUUCAGAAUUCUACCAAAUGUUGAAAACAUUUUUUUUCCUAAACUAUCCUCAUUAAUUUUUUGUAUUUCUGUUAUUGCCCCUAUAUUUAUUUAUUUUUUUAAAUGAAGAAGGAGCAGCCCUUUGCCGAACCAACGAAGGGCGACGGCCGCCAGCGCCAGAUCCGGCUCGCCAGCGGCCACAGCCCUUCGCCGGCUGGCGAAGGGUUUAGCUGAAUUUUCAAAGAAAAGAAAAAUAUAUAUAUAUUACCCAAAGCCCCUUGGAAAGUUCUUUUUACCAAAUACACAUUCAACUCAAAGUUCAUUUGCAAAAUUUUUUUACCAAACACAAUUGCAUUUUUCCCAAGUAGCUUUGGGCUUUCAGCAUUUGCAUUGAACUCAAAGCCCAUUGCAAAUGCUGAACCAAACGCAGUCUUAGAUACACGAGAAACAAAACCCUCCAAAAAUCCUCAUAAUAAAGCAAUAGAAGGUCACCCAGACUUAAAACAACUCCGUUAAUGGGACAUGGGACUCAAUGAGAUGAUUUGUGGAAUAAAACUUGCCCUCAAUCUAGUUUACUCUUCAUCACUUUUCAGAUGGAAAGAGUGGACAGACCUCAGAAAAAAUGGAUAGCUCAACCAGAAAAGGAAGAAGUUCCGUUUGUCACCAGAUGUUUAACCAACAACUCCAUUGUUGCCAUACUUGCUGAAAAACCCCUUUCAACCAUUUCACCGACAGCUUAUGCUGCUUUCAUGUCUUCCUUAUUUCUUAGUAGUCCUUGGAUUAUGAUGUUAAGAGAGACACCAUCUGGAAAGCAUCCAAUACUCUCCAUCUCCUUCAGCAGCUGAUACGCCUCCUCCGCACAUCCUCCUUCGCACAAUCUACACAUGACAAAGCUAUACAUCCACACGUCAGGUUCCAGCCUCAAGCAUGCAAACAAUUAAACAGCCCCAUAGCAUCGUCAAGCUUCCCGGAGUUACACAUGCCUUAUAUUAGAAUAGUGUAUGACACAAUAUCCGGUGUGAAUUUGGAGUCUUUCAUCUUUCGAAGCAAUAUCAGCCCAGCAUACUCGGUCAAUGGGUCGAGCAAGCAUCUUCACCAAUAGUCAUUGCAUGGGCAUGUUCCAUCCAUAAAAUGGUGGAACCUGUUUGCAUCCCUUACGACUAUAGGUCUUCCAGUUGCCAUGGAGAUAUAUUUGAUCGCAGAAUGACAAUCUCCACAAAUGCGAAGAUUCUUAAAUACCCUAAUAGAUUUCGGACUGGAGGUGCUUAUAAGGCCAAAAACGACAGCAAUUUUCUCACUGUGUUGGAGCAAAUAUUGUUCCUUUUGUCCCUCCUCCACAUCAUGAAGAACAAAUUGAGUACUCGGAAAAUAACCCAGUUUCUUUAUUCUACUAGCCAAUCGGUCUAGUUCCUCAUAGAUCUCCCAUGCCUUCGGAUGUGAAGCAUCGCCUGUUGGAAAAAGUUUAGAAUACAUAAAAAAAAAAAAAUUUAUUGAAAAUACAUUACGAAGGAUUAGAAAAUAGAAAAACAAAUGUAUGAGGCGUGCAAGUACUGUCCUUAAGGAUAAUUCCGCCCCUCGGAGUACGAAACUUGGUGCGUAAUGCUUCAGUGGCUAUCGUCCCAAGAUACAACAGACAUUCAUCUAUACUCCGCACUGAAUAUUAGAAGGAAACAUAACAACUUUUAUGUAUAACCCAGCUGAAAGGAAAUGAAAGAUAUAUGAGAAUAUAUUGUGUCUUUAUGAGAUCUUAUUUUUAUAUUUAGACAAAAUAGAGCCGUUAAAAGAGCCGUUGUAAAAUAAUGGAUGAUUUAUUUGAGAAAUAAAUUAAACGUUACAAAACGAUUUAAAAAGCCAUUAUAUGACCAUUAAGAAACCGUUAUGUGACCGUUAAAAAUAAUGAUGAUUUUCAAUGCGAUCAUAACUUUUAUCGAAGCUAUUAUUGUAAAUAUUUCAAAACUGCUGAAAUAUCCAACAAUCCCCCACAUAUUUCAGAAAGUUUUGACAAGAAAAUAAAAUAAUGCUGGGUUAUUGGAGAGUAAUGUAUCGGAAUUGGUGCUUGUUAGGUUAUGAACCAACCCUAGAAAGAAUGAAAUAUAAUUAAUGAAAUCAUUAGUGAAGUUUGAAACUUCUAUGAACUAAAAAUUUCUUUUGUGAAUUAUAAUUUUCAUCAAUCACAUUAUACUCCCACAAACUUUGUUGUUCAACGCGGUUUUGCGCUAAUAGGCCAUGCGCAUGCUUGGUUUAUUCAUAAGUGCUUCAGAGAUUUUCGCCAAAAAAUCUCAUAAGAGCGGCCCCACUCCACACUUAUAUAGGUGAUUCCAUCAAGUGUAUUAUGCAGUUUAAUACACCAUCAAUAAUGGCUAUGGAAUUUCAUUAAGAACUUAGCUCAACCUCUUUUUCCUUGUAAUUUUGCACUAUUUUCACUUUAGAAUGGACAAUAAAUUUUAAUAGUGCACUAAAUCAAUAAAUGACUUGUUAUUACCAAUAUGAACCUAAUUCAUGGGAUCGCCAAUCACAUAAGUUAGGUUACCAUCACUGUUGAUUUUCUUCAAUUGGCUUGUCCCAUUCCCUUCGAUGUAUAGUCAAAUGAUUGGCCAAAUCAUUUCUGACUUAAUAUAAUCGAUUGAUAUAAAUCCCUUUUAUAAGGAAUUAUUUUAUCACAUCACGUUUCAACCAAACGUCUCUUUUUGCCAUUGAAAGUUUCAUUCUUUGCAAUAGCUAUUGCCUUUUGGCAAUCAUAAUGUCUAGACAUAAGUGUUAUUUCAUUUCCAUAGGAACAUACAGUAAGAAAUUUCUCAACUACUCAGCCUCAAUUUUAAUGAGUUUGAGAAAUUUUUCUUCUUCCCAAGAACUUGAGUAGUUCUUCAAUCAUCAAGAUAAAUAUUUUCUUCUCCUUCCUUACUAGAGGUUAGGAGGAUAAAGCAUUAUGUUUUUAACAUAUAUGCUUGGUAGUACCUAAGUCUGUCUCAAAUUCUUUUGCAUUUGCCAAAAUAUUGGCUUGGAAAAUGACUACAACAAUUACAUCAUUAGAUCAUCUACUUCAACCAAGUCAAAUUUUGGUUGAGCAGGAUUGUCAUUUCCCCCACAAUUUCAUUUGACUGCUUUUUAUGUUGCGACACCUCCACAAGGUGGACACAUAUUCAUUUGUGGAUUUUGUCUCAUAUGAAUCCGAGAUCCACUUAACAUCACUGUAUUAUUCUAAUACAGUGAAAAAUCCACUAUGUAAAAAUGUCAUAGUUUUAUAUUCACAUGGCCGCAAAAUCCAUAAAAAUUCUAUUGUUGUGAAAAUUGAUCUCACCUGAGAUGUUCAUUGGUUGUCGUGGAGUCUUUGACUUCUGUCUCUUCACGCUGAUCUCUACUCAAAUCAGCCAGACAUACAAGUUCGUUGAUGAUGGCAUAUUCAUUCAAAGAAAAUUUUGCACUAGGAGCUGCUCUUAUUCUAAUAAAAAGAAGCUUGAAGAAGUGAGUAUUUGUAAGGACAAAUUUGGCCUCCACCAAACCCAAUACCAAGCACUUGUCAACACUAAAUGGUAUAUCAACGAUAGAAAAUUUGUUGCUUUGCUAAAACAUUUAUAAAAGUAGCAUUAUGAAAUCAUCAUAAAUCCCAUUUGCAAGUGUUGAAUCCUCAUCAGCAAUGUUACAUACACAUGUAGGAGCACAAAAACACUAAUUAACGCUCGACUCUAAAUCCUACCACAAAAAGUCCUAUCUUAAGAUCGAUGACAAGAUGAUUACCACUCUUAACGCAAGUGAAACUAUUCACACCAAAAAAAAAAGAAUAAAAUAGUUCACAUUUUAGAAAGGAACAUUAGCUACAAUCCUUGAGAUUGGCUAUGCAUUGAACGUUAUUUACUGUCCUUGACCCACAUAUUAGAUAAUGGAAAGUAAGCAGUACGCAAUGGGUCAAAUGAAGCAAAGGAUAUCUAAAGUUAUUAUAAGAUAUACAAUUACCUUGGUCUUGCGCUACCAUAAGAGUGAUCUUGCGCUACCAUAAGAGUGAUGGCUCUUUAAUACGAAUAUCAUAAAAUCUUCUAUUUCAGUUUAAAUUUUUACCUGCAGCUUCUAGAAGGUAACAAAAUAAGGUGACAAUAAGUUUUUAACAAAUCUUGAAUGUCACUAAUAGUGUCCUGUCUCCUAGAUAAGUUCUCAUCAUGCUCUGUUAAAGAGGCAAUAAAAUGUCACAAAUUAAAAUGAUACAUGAAAAUACCACCACUUUCACUUUACAAGCACUAGACUAAAAAUGAACUGGCUAAAUCUCUUCCACUGGCACUCAGAGUUUAUUCAAAAUCUCAAACUGAGAAAGAAACAACUACCGGCAUGCAUCCAUCAAUGGUGCUCAUCCAAUAUCCCUAAAAUAUAAAGCAGGGCAAAGACAAAAUGCAAAAAUAUAUAUAGCUUGAUUUCGUAUGUUGUACCUCCUCUAUUUUUAAUGAGCAUAAAGAAGGCCAAUAUGAGACUCAUAAUUUUCAGCUUGCAUUAUUAACAAUUGCACCAGAUAGAAAGGUCAAAGCCAAGCAAUAGUCAAAAUAAAACCUACUAAUAUAACAGUUCAAAGUUAAAUCAAAUACACCACCCAAUCACAAUCACUAUUGCUCUCUUCUAAUGGAAGAGCAACUGACGCCUUAAUGAAUUUUCCAAAAAAUUAAACAACAAGAAGAACAUGGUUCUACUAACAACAACAUCAUUGCAGUGGUUCUCAAGCUUGGAGACAUACUUCUUGUCCUAUCAACACAAAAAUUCCUUGAUGGAUACUAGAAGUCAUUAACAUUCAGAUGGUAAGAAUUUGAAACCAUUUUGUAAAGUAAAAUUUACUCACAAAAAUCCAAAGUUUCCAUUUUUUUUCUUUUUCAUUUCUAAAAUAUGAAAUGGGUCACUACAUAAUGGUUAAUAUCAAGCGGUCAACCAAUUAAAACAAUAGGAACAAUCUCUAAUCCUAAAAUUACAACUUCCAAAUCAUGAACAGAAUUAAAAUAGGAAACCCCAAUGCGGAUUGAAGCUUACGAAUAAUCACAAAUUUGAGUGAGCAAAUAAUUACAAGCACCCAACUUCCUCUCGAAACAAAUUUAGGUAUUAAAGCCUCAAAGUACGAUUUUACCUUACAUUCAAUAACCUUACCAAAACGACCAAGAAACCUUUGACGAUGCUCAGUAAUUUCCCACAACAUCUGCCCAUGAAUAUGUGAUACUUGUACUUCACCAUCUCGAUCAGUCUUUCAAUUCCAAUUGCGGUGGUGGCGACAGCAACAACUUCAACUUGGAAAUCCAUAGGACUUAUCCUUAAGAUUGUUGGAACAAGAAGGAUUAGAAAAUAGAAAAACAAAUGUUUGAGGCGUGCAAGCACUGUCCUUAAGGAUAAUUCCGCCCCUCGGAGUACGAAACUCGGUGCAUAAGGCUUCAGCGGCACUGAAUAUUAGAAAGAAACAUAACAAUUUUUAUGUAUAACCCAGCUCAUAGGAAAUGAAAGAUAUAUGAGAAUAUAUUGUGUCUUAUGAGAUCUUAUUUUUAUAUUUAAACAAAAUAGAGCUGUUAAAAGAGCCGUUGUAAAAUAAUGGAGGAUUUAUUUGAGAAAUAAAUUAAAUGUUACAAAACAAUUUAAAAAGCCAUUAUAUGACCGUUAAGAAACCGUUAUGUGACCGUUAAAAAUAAUGAUGGUCUUCAAUACGGUCAUAACUUUUAUCGAAGCUAUUAUUGUAAAUAUUUCAAAACUGCUGAAAUAUCCAACAGUGAAAUAUCCAACAUCACCCACAUAGAACUUGUGAACUGUAUUUUUCACUUCAAUCCAGCUACAACCAGCUUCUUUUGUAAGAUCUUUCAGUUUCAUCUUCUUUCUGAUUGCUGCAGCAUCUUCCCAUAGACCAGCCGAGGCAUAAAUAUUUUAUAGCAAAAUAUAAGUCGCAGUGUCAUCUGGUUCUUGCUCAAAAAUCAUUGCUGCAGCUUGUUUUGCAAGUUCAACAUUGCCAUGAACUCGGCAAGCUCCGAGAAAUGUACGCCAGACAAGUGUAUCAGCCCGGAAAGGCAUUGAAUUUAUAAACUGAAGGGCUUCGACAAGGGAUCCUGAUCUGCCCAAUAAGUCCACCAUACAUGCAUAGUGUUCGGUUCUAGGCACGAUUCCAUGUUCUGUGUACAUUGACCUAAAGUGUUUCCAUCCAUCAGAUAUCAAACCCACAUGACUACAAGAGGAUAAAACAGCAACAUAGGUGAUCUCAUUUGGCCUCACACCAGCAUCAAGCAUUUGAUGGAAUGUGUCUAGAGCUCUCAUCCCAAAUCCAAGCUUUGCAAAACCAGUAAUCAUUGAAGUCCAAGUUAUGACAUUUUUCUCUCUUGUCCCACUGAAAACUCGAAAAGCAGCUUCUAUGUUUCCACACCUGGAAUACAUAGAGAUCAAAGCAUUGGAAAUGCACUGAUUUGAGUCAAGCCCUGAUUUUACCAUCCUCGCAUGGAUUUGCUCCCCCUUACCAAUAGCGCCAACGCAGGCAACUCCACUCAAAAGGCUGGCAAAUGUAAAAGCACUUGUUCCGAUCCCUCUCUCCUCAAUCUCAUGUAGUAGUUCAAAGGCUUCAUCGGACUCCAAACUUUUGGCAUAGGCAUCUACAAGGGUAUUAUAAGAAACCAGAUUCUUUUCAAAUAGUGCAUCAAAAGCUCUCUGAGCGUCUUCCAUGUGGCCCGACCGGGAAUACAUGCUGACAAGAGAAUUACCCACGCAAGUAUCACAGGCAAAGCCCAAUUUUAUAGCUAGUGCAUAUAUUUGUAUCCCCAUAUCUACAUCACAAAUAUUUCCACAUGCCUUGAGAACACCAGCAAAUGCGAAAUCGUUUGGCCUCACGGGACCUUUUGUCAUUUCCCAAAAGAGCUUGAUAGCCUCCUCAUUCUCUUCCGCCCGUGCAUAUCCUGUGAUUAUCGCCGUCCAAGACAUUACAUUGUGAUCUUGCAUCUGAUCAAACACCUUUCUCGAAUCAUGAAGCGAUCCACCAUCUACAGACUUGACAUACAUGUCCAGCAAACUGCAUCCAACACAGACAUCCGAAGCCAAUCCAGACCGUAUAACCCAGGAAUGCAAUUGUACCCCGAGCGAUAGUAACUCCAACUCUGAACAUGCAGACAAAACAGCCGUGAGUGUAAAUCUAUCUGGCACAGGCCCACUCACCAGCAUAUCCAAAAACAAAUCAACAGCUUUCUUUGGACUACCCAACUGAGUACAUCUCGUCAUCAUCAAAGUCCAAGCAACCACAUUCCUCUCGGGCAUUUUCUCAAACACCUUACGAGCUGAAACCAAAUCAGCACUACCCUUUGCAAACAUGUCAAUCAAUGCACACCCAACACACACAUCAGAAUCAAGAUAGCCGCUUUUGAUAAUAAACCCGAAAACCGUAUCGCCAAUAGAUGCACUCUCCGGGACCGAGCAAGCCCGAGCAACCGCCGCGAAACAAUAAUCAUUAGGGAAAAACCCAUCCUCGAGCAUAUGAACGAACGUAUCCACCGCUUCAAACUCCAUGUGAUUAUUGGCAUAGCAGGAGAUCAUGGAACUCCAAGAAACCAUGUCCCUCUUAUCGCCCAUGUCCCCAAAAACCCUCUCCGCCUCAGCCCAGUCGUUGGAUUUCGAGUAGAGACUGAUGAGCGAGUUGAGGAUCACCGAGUCGGGCUCGAGCCCGGACCGGGCGAGCGCGCGGUGGACGCGCCUCCCCAGCGCGAACGCGCGGGAGCGGAUGCAUGACUUGAGGAGGAGCGACAAGGUGAGGACGUCGGGGUGGGACCCGUCGCGGGACGCGAGCUCGAGUCACUAGAUAGCUCCGCGGAGGUCGCCGCCAUCGAGGCGGGCGACGAGGCGGCGGCCGUCGAGGGGCGAGGGGGGAAGGUUUUGGCGGGAAGGAGAGAGCUUGACGGUGGACGGUGGAGGGAAGAGAGAGAAAUUCAUUGCUCCAUGCAAGACCAGCAUGGCCUGCUACAUCAAGAAAUGAAAAUAGAUAGGUUCAUGAAUUACAUGGUCAAUUAUGCUUUUGAUUGAACUACUUUUAUUUUGCAUUACUUCUUACCUGAGAAAAGAUAAUCAAACGAUGGACGAUCUCGUAAUUUUAUUGUUAUACAUAAGUUAUCGGGACACUUAAUGUAUUUAAGAACGAUUCAAGUUCUGUUUGAGUGUUCACAUCAUCAACUCGUUUCUCGAAUGAAUACAAAAGAGGGUAGAUACUUUAUUAAUAUCUUCUUCAAACAUGUCUAGGGACUCUUUUUUAGGGGUGAUUAGUUCCUAACACUUUAUUAAUAUAUCCUUCAAACAUGUCUAGGGACCCUUUUUAAGGGGUGAUUAGUUCCUGAUUCAGUUCGAUUUCGAUGCGGAAUCAGAAAUCCAUUUGUAAUAUUAGAAAAGUAGUCGGGAAAUAGAUUUGGAACAAAAAUAAAAAAGUAAAAAAAAAAUAACUUCUUGUUCUCGGGAACAAUUUCUAGAAAUAAGUUUGUUUUCUUUUCUUUUUCUUUUCUUUUCUUCUUUUCUUCUUAUUCGUUGGCGACCACACCCUUUGCCGCUUGUCGUCGGCUGACUGCCGUUGCUGCCACCGCCAUCUAUCACCACCCACCACUAAUGACCGCCGAUGACGCCACCCACCAGCUAGCUAACAAACUACAGUCACCAUUAUGGCAUUGAAAUUUUUUCCAAUCUAGAAACUUGAAUAAUAUUUAACUCUUGCCAUUAGCAAAUUGACAAAUUAGCCAAAGGAAAAAUGGCAAAUGUACACUUAAGAAAUAAUUUGAAUUUCAUGAACAGAUCAAACUGCAUACUUGGUCCAAAGCAAACGAUCAAAUCGCAUUGUUUCCUUCUUAUGUCCGAAACAAACAGAAGCUUUUGAGAAUGCUCAUGCAUUGCUACCAUUAAACGAAGAUUUAUAUGCUAAUCCCUACUGGGGACAACCACUAUAAAUAGUGAAGACUUGAGCCUCUCUCGAGAUGCAAAAUAGGAGUGAGCACAAAAAUUAAGUAAAGGAUAUCAAGUUAAGGAUGCUCCUUCAAGAGUUGCAGUUAUGCUAGUUGGGUCCCUUUUAAUGUUCUAUAUUGUUCAAGGUGCUCCGAACACUAACAUAACUUAUAGGGGCCGCAAUGGUGGUACCUAUUCGAGCAACGACCCUAAUGCAGACAGCGUGGCUUAUGUCCUCGCUGACAUGGCGACUGUCACACCAAAUCAUGCAAAUUACGACUACUACACCGCGUCUCCUUAUCCCACGGCAGCUGCCUAUGGUCAUGCCCCCUGUAACCCGGCACUUUCUUUCAGCGAUUGCGGUAUAUGUGUUAGCGCUGCUAAGGCUCGAAUAUUGGCAGACUGUCCAAACAUUUUUCGGCAUCGAUAUGGUGUGAAGAUUGCAGUAUGAAGUAUGAAAACUAUUUAUUUACUGAUUAAAUAGUUCGCCGCCAAACCAGAGAGCCGUGUUCUAUUGUAUGCGGUUGUUUCUGCCGCACAUGUUGCCAUGUUUGUUUUUGCAAGAAAUGACAUCCUAGAAGAUAUGCUUUCUUUGUCAAUUUAAAGUUCUCAAAAUAAUACUUAUUUAUUAUGAUGAAAAAACCUAACAAAAUAUCUAUAAGCUAAUGACUAGUGUGAAAAUGUGCCGUGUAUCUAAUCCAUUCUUACGUUCAUUAGAUUUGUUAUUACGAUCCAAAAGUAUGCAAUUACUAUAUGCUGUGUAUCUUCCCCUUAUUCCAACUACCUACAUUUAUCACAAGAGUAUGCAAUUACUAUAUGCCCAUUUCCAAAAGUUCUAUAGAAUAAUCGAGAAAGCCCUUGUCUCUGGAGAUAAUCAAGGAUUGCUCGUUCAUGGACAGAAACCUUUUAGAUCGUAUCACUUCCUUGGACCAUAACACAUGUGCCUUACUUCACUUUACACCAUCUGAUAAUCUUAUUAUUUCUUAAUUUGGCACACCCAUCUUAUUAUGAAGAAAAGAUGCAAGAGACCACAUUUUGGUAUAAUCAAAAACACGCGAUGUACCUGACUAGCUUUCCACGUAGUCGAAUAUUCCAGCUUGAUUGCAAUUAUUAGGAUCAAUAGUGGAAGAUAAAGCACUAUCUACAAAAAUGGGAAGAAAAAUGUUUUGGGCAAGAUUUUGUGCUCUGGAGGAGAAGAAGCACCACCAAAUUGUGAAGGUAAUUGAAAAAAACUCUAAACCCACUGCAUUUUAAGCAAUUCAGUCAUAAAUCUUUUAAUUUUACCAAUUGACUUCUAAUUUUUUUUUUCACUUAUCAGCAGUUGAUUCUAUUCUGCCAAUUUUGGCCAAAAAUUACUAACAUAGACGGCUGGGUUGACGUGACAUUUUUUAAAUAAUAUUUUAAUAAUAUUUUGAAGGUCGAGGCGAGGGCGGGCAACCCUCACCUCUGGUAGGCCCUCGUCUAAGCUUCGGUGACCUAGUCGGCCUUUGCUGCCGUCCCAUUGGCAAUGGGGGGCGGUAGCCACAGGGGAGAAUAAGCACCCUCUCCCUCUCACUUCUGUUUUCCUUUUUCUAAAAGUUUUUUUUCUAAAGAAAAAAGGAAAAAAAUUUAAAAAAUUUAAAAAAACAAAAUUGUCAUAUAUAGACUCUUCUUUGAGACUAAUAUUGGCAUUUCAAGCACUUAUUUGAGACAAUGAAUGCACUUCGGCCCCUUAUUUAAAAUAAAAUUCACUUUAAACUCUUAUUUGAGAAAAUAAAGGCACUUGAGGCCAUUAUUUGGAAUUUUCUCAAAAAACAAAAUUAAAAAAAAAAUUAAGAAGAAUAAAGUAAAUGGCUAAUGAUUUUCCUCACAAGAUUUUCAAAUUUCCAGUAUGAUAAUUUAUUUGCUCUGAAGGAAUAAAAGUUUCUUAGGGCAAAAAUUGCUAGAAAAAUAAGCAUCACCUUUUAAAGAAGGACAAAAGGAUCACAUUCUCCUUGCUCGAGGAACUCUUGAGCAAGAUGACCCAAAAUGCAUAUCAUUCUCAUCUUAAUUUAACCUUCAUGACUUAGCCUUCAUACGUAAGGAUUCAACUGACUGCCAUGGAAACACUGAAGUUGAGAGAACAUGUGACAUUUCAACGUCCAACACACUACACAAUCAUUUUGUGCGGAAAAAUUCUACAAUUAGUCAUAAACCUCUAGCACAUAAAUCAAUUGAGUCUUAAACCUUUCAAUUGAAAUAAUAGAAUCCUAAAAUUUUGUGGGAAAAUGCAAUCAAGUCCUCUCAUCCAAGUCUUGUUUGAUUUAUCUAAUGUGGCAAUCCAGUAAUCGCCAUCUAUCCUAUGUAAUGUUUCUAUCCUAUGUAAUGGCGACGACAUGACGUGGUCUAUUUUCAUCGAGAUGACGUCGCUUUCAAACUUACUGGUCAUCAUCUUUUAGCUUGCAUUCGCUUGGCUAGAGCUCCUCUGGUGCUCGUCCAUUGCUGUCCACUACUGCUUGGACCUUCGACGGUGUGCUGCCACCACUAUCGACCUAGAGGUGUGAAUCAAAUUCUAUGCAUUAAUAGUUCCUCAUAGCAACCAAUCUAAGGAUAGAAAGAAACCAACCACAAAACCCAACUCAAGACAUCUCACAGAAUAAGGUGGCACGAUUGUAAUGCACCAAUGGCUUAGUAUCGAAUGCCAACUAAGCCUCAAAAUUGCAAAAUUCGAUUAGUGCAAUUCCAUAGUAAAACAUUGCCCAUGGAGGCAUGUUGCUUUAUGAUAAGUACUAUCCUCUCAAACAAGGAACUUCCAUUUAGGAAGAAAACAAUCCUAUACAUUGCUUGCUUGCAUUAAGCUAUCCAUUGAGUUUGUGACUAUGUAACGCAAGCUGUUUGGCUGUGCUCUUACAAUAAUGUCUUGAUGCCUGGUGUAUUCCUUCGUUGAUGGCCCACAGCGUGAAUCUAUUUUGAAAAUGAUGUUCCCUUAAUGACUGUACUCUCAAUUCUUGCAAAGAUUGAAGGUUUCAAGGCCUCUAGUUGAUAUCGAUAUCUAACACUAAAGGAUCAAUCUGAGGUGAGUCGACAUAAUUUACAGUAAAGGAUACACCAUGCCCGCGACUUUCCAGCAAAAGAAAUCAUAAAGCUUCUUUUGAAACUGAAGCCUGAUGAUGCACUUGCACAUGGUUCUAGUCAGCGAAGAAUCUCGAAAAGUGAAAUUAAAACCAUCAUCGCAAAAACAGUGGCUUUGCUUCAGUGGGUAAGCCCAUAGACCAGCUUUUGUAAACAAGAAAAUGGACAACAGAGAGCUGAGUUGAUCCAAUUGUUAUAUAUGCAGAACUUCGAAUUGAUCCUUUUGCUCGAAAGGUUCUUUCUUCUGAGUUCAAUCGAUCAUAUCGGCCAUGAUAUCCACACGUGAACUUUGCUAGAAGAGCGUUCUCUGGAAUGCUUCCAUGCUACUAUGAUUAUGUGAGGAAACAAAGAGGAGUGGGCGUGACAAGAGGAAGACUGUCCAAGCAAUCCUGCUGCCUUAAGCGAAACAUGCGAAAACAAACAGAAAAAUCAGUAAUUGAAACAGAUAAAAAAGGCAAGAAAUGAGCCUCCGUUGAGAGGCAACCCUAUUUAUUGGGAAAGUAAACCAAUUGAUAGAGUGGAAAUGACAAUGGAAAGGUAAAUCAUACGGGCCUGACUGUGAUGAAUUUGGUUGGUGUCGCUCAAGACGUCUAUGUGGUUUGGCAUCUGUCAAUGGUAUUCACCCAUCAGCAGAGGCUUUUCUGAAAAUCCCUCACAGUGCAAAGGAAAAGAUACUGCAAGUAGUUUUCAUACACUUGCUGCCACGUCCCUUAGUCAACAAGAAGCAGAGCAGAUAACCCAAACGUGUAAUCUACCUUAGAUGAUAAUCUGAGUAACUAGCUCGCCACAAAUAUUCUCCCCUAUUAAUGCAAAGUGCACAUCACCAUGAUCAGGUACCAUCCACUUCCACUUAUGCAUCUUCUUUGAAGUAACUACAGGACAUUGAAGGGAUCAGAUUGUCAGGAAAAGAGUAUAAAAGAAAACUAGUAUAUCUCUCUCCAGCACAUAAGUAACAAGCUAAUCUGGAUUUAUGGUAUAAUUUUUUGAACCCAACGCCCCCCCCCCCCCCCCCCCAAUCGAAAAAGGCUGACUCCCCCCCCCCCCCCCCCCCCCAAAAAAAAAAAAAAUUAUAUAUAUAGGUCCCUGAUAUUGGUGCAUAACGUCUGCAUUGCAGAUCUUUGGUACAAAGUAAAUGUAUUGCCAUUAACAUCAACUUAACUCAAGAGCAUCCUGACACCAUACAAAGUAAAUAUAUAGGUCCCCGAUAUUUUCUUGCACGCUACUAUUAUUAUAUUUGUGUCAAGACACAAAGAGUAGAGGGGGUAACAAGACUCUCCAGGCAAAUCCUGCAGUUGUGAGUGGAACAUGCAAAAACAAACCAAAACAUUUGUUUGUCUGAUGAUAAAACAGAAAACUGGCAAUGAAUUUACCUCUAUAGAGAGCGAAAGAAAGUUAAAUCCUAUGAGCCUGUUUGUAAUGAAGUUGAUUGGUGCCACUCCAGAUGUCAAUGUGGUUUGGCAAGCAAUGUCUGUCAGAGGCAUUCAUGUUCACGCAUCAACAGAUGCUUUUUGGAAAAUCCCUUGCAGUGCAAAGGAAAAGAUACUGAAAGUUGUUUCCAUACAGUUGCAGCUAUGUUCCUUAGUCAGCAAGCCGUCCAUCAAACUUUGCUGUGAGAAGCAGAGCAAAUAACCCAAAUAUGUAAUCAACCUGCAUGACAAUCUGAGUACCCAGCCCGCCACAAGUAUUCACUGUUAUUGAUUCAAAGUGCCCAUCACCAUGAUCAUAUACCAUCCACUUCCACCCAUGCAUCUUCUUUGAAGAACUAUGGCAAAUAAGACAUUGAAGGGAUCAGAGGUGUUAGGAAAAGAAAAUAAAAGAAAACCAGUAUCUCUCUCUCAAAGCACAUACAUUACACCCUGAAAAAAAAAGAAAAAAAAGUAGUUUUCUUUAGUCCCAUUGAGGAAGAGGUCCAUGAUACUUGUCUAUAAUGUCUGAAUUGCAUAUAGUACACAGUAAAGUUAUGCUAUUAACAUUGAUUUAAUUUGAGAACAUCCUCACACCAAUUGAUCAUUCAUAUGAAUUUGACCUGUUUGAUAAAUAGUAGGCACCAGAAGCACUAACCCACAAGUACAUCUACCAGUUAAAUACAGAUUUCUUGCAAAACCUAGGCAUACGAAAAGCAAAAUCAACCUUUCCCCCCUCCAAAAGCCUGAUAAUCAAGCAAGAGGAAAAAUCUCCCAGACUUAAAACAACUUCAUUAACGGGACAUGGGACUCAAGGAGGUGAUGUCUGGAAGAAAACCUGCUGUUAAUCUGGCUUACUCUCCAUCAAAUUUUAGAUGAAAAAGUGGACAGAUCUCACACACAAUGGAGAAAUGAAGGAGCUCCAUUUGUCAAGAGAAAUUUAACCCACAACUCCAUUGUUGCUAAGUCUGCAGAAAAACCCCUUUCAACCAUUUCACCAACAAGUUGCGCUGCUCUCGUAUUUUCGUUAUCUCUUAGUAGUCCUUGGAUGAUUGUGUUAUAAGCGACACCAUCCGGAAGGCAUCCAUUUCCUUGCAUCUCCUUUAGCAGCUGAUAUGCUUCCUCUGUGCGUCCUCCUUUGCACAAUCCACGCAUGACAAUACUAUACGUCCACACGUUAGGUUGCAACCCUCGAGCAUGCAAACAAUCAAACAGCCCUAUUGCAUCGUCGAGCUUUCCGGCAUUACACAUGCCAUUUAUUAGGAUACUGUAAGUCACGAUGUUAGGGAUGAUUUUGGAAUCUUCCAUCUUUUGAAGCAAUAUCAUGGCCUUGUCAAUCUGCUGCGCUUUACACAAGCCAUUGAGGAAAGCACCCAAGGUAUAAUGAUUUGGGGAGAGAUCGCGAGAAUGCAUCUCAUUAAUUAGCUCCGCUGCGGCUUCAAGGUUCCCAACCUUGCAAAAUCCGUCCACGAGAGUGUUGUAUGUGAUGACAUCAGGAAUCAGGCCCCUUUGAAGCAUUUCUUGGAAAAACAUCUUUGACUUGUCCAUUCUUUUCGCUUUGCAGUAUCCGUUAAUCAACGUGUUAUAAGUAACAACAGUAGGUGAGCAGCCUCUUUCAACCAUCAAAUUAAGCACUUCCAUUGCAUCUUUCAUCCUAUUUUGCAAACAAUAACCAUUCAUCAAUGUACUGUAGAUGAAAAUAUCAGGCACUUUACCUAAUUGAAUCAUCUGGUCGACUACGGCCUCUGCCUCUACAAGCAAUCCCUCUUUACAAUGUGCAUCCACCAGGAUACCGAAGGUUAGAACGUCAGGCAUGACUCUGCUUUGCACCAUACGACUCAGCAGUCUUCGGGCCUCUUCCAAAUGGCCGGAAUUGCAAACUCCUUGAAUGACGGAGGUAUAAGUAACGACGUCCGGUUCGAUUCCUGCGUUCAUCAUCUUCUCCAACAAGACCAUAGCAUCUUUCCAUUGGCCUCGGUUGCAUAAGCAAUGAACCAAGGAGCUAUAAGUGAAUAUGCUGGGUUGGAUGCCUCCGCUCGUCAUCUGUUUCAACAAUACGAGAGCACCUUCCAUCUGGCCUACAUCGCACAUACUGUGGAUCAAGGAAUUAUAAGUAACAACAUCUGGUUCAACGCCUUUCUUGCUCAUAAUGCCGUGGAGUCUCAAUGCCUCUGUGAUGAAUCCCUUCUUGCAAAGACUAUCUAUUAUUAUGCCGUAUGCGAAGGAAUUGAGCCUGCAGCCUCUCUCUUCCCAGUCCCUCAGCAAUUCAAUCGCCAAUCUAGUGUUACCCACCCUGCAUAAACCCUUUGCGAUUAUGGCAUACGUGGUCUCAUCAGGUUCGGGGCCAUUUCGUCCCAUAUCAUCGAGGAACCUCAGUGCUUGAUCAGUUUUGCCCUGAAUAAAGAGACCAUCAAUUAAGGUACUCGAUGCCACCACAUCGAUGGGAAACCCAAGCUUCAAGAUUCUGCCCAGGAUAGACAAACCCAAAUCGACCCGCUGUAACCGACAGAAGCAAUUCAACGAAAUAUUCAGCCAAAUAUGAUUAUCUUCAACUCCUAACGAACGCAGCUGCUCAAUCAAGCGGAUGGCAGUGGAGUAGUGCUUCAUCCUCACUACAGCACCCAACAGAAGACUGAAAUCCCGGGGGGAAGGCAAAGGGUCCGUCUUCAUCAAUGCACCGAAGCAACGCUGGGCAUCGCCGACGCUCGAAAACACACCACCAUUCCUGCAAAUUUUCCUCGCGUGACUCAAGACCUCGCUUGGGUCAUCUAAAUUAAGGUUAGGGGUCGAGGAAAACCGACGACGACGACGACGACGGCGAGACGAGAGAGGGAGGAUGGAAGGGGAUGAUGGCUGGCUGGAGAUCGCAUGAAGAAGGAGGAAGAUGGAAGAAGCAGGGCGGCGGAGACUCGUCGGCUUCAUUGCUCUGGGGCCUCUCUCUCUCUCUCUCUCUCGAACCACGAGAGUUUCUCCCAAUGCGACGGUAGUAGCUGAAAAAUUACAGGGGAAAAUAUGGAAUUCAAUUUAUUUGAAAAUAGAUAACACAACCGAUGGUCCGUGAAUUUUACUAAUUUGGAGUCUUUUAUUCAAAACAAGGAUCGCAUUGACAUUAAAAAAGAAAUAAUUUAAAGACCCAAUUUGAGCUACUUUAAAGUUCAUGGAUGACUUCAUACAUUAGACAUAGUUGAAAAACCUAACUACACCUAUUAAAAUUUUUGGGAAGACAUGGACAUUCUGCAUAUUGAACAAAAAUCCAUGGAGCUAUUAGUGUCAUUGUCACAAUACGAGAAUAAUCCUACUAGCAAUUACGUACCCUUUUCAUUUAUCUUUUAUUAAAAUAUUUGGUCAAUUAAUCAAAUAAAGUAGCUAAAAAAACUUCAGGAGAAAGGAAAAUGAGAGAAAUCGCUUCUCAUCAUCUCCAUUGACUUUUUAACACUAAGCAACUUUAAGAUAAAAUUCAAAAUAAAAGCCUAGCGUGCCUUUAUUUUCUCAAAUAAAGUCCGAAGUAAACCUUGUUUCAAACAACAACACGAAGUGCAAUCAUUUUUUCAAGUAAGCACUCAAAGUAGAUCUUAUUUCAAACAAUGGCCUGAAAUAAUUAUAUCUAUUUCAAGGCCUAAUAUUCCGACUAGUCAAGAGCAUUUUGGUCAUUUAUCUUUUUUAUUGAAUAUUUUCCUUUCUUCUUUCUUUUUCCCGUUUUCCUUUACUUUUUUCUAGUUUUUCUUUCUUCAUUGCCGCCGAUGGCCAUCGAUGAUGCUGGAAAGGGUUGGGCAAGGAUUGCCCUUGCUCGCUGCUAGUAAGGGCCCCUCAUCGGCCACAAGUGAGGCCACCCUCACUAGAUUUAGCGAGGGUCGGCUUGACCUAGGGCGACGAGGGCCCAACGACCCUCACCAGCCACUAGCGCUAGGUAAGGUAGGCGAGAGUCACCUCACCCAAUCGCUAACAGCCGAUAAGGGUCGCCAAGCCCUCGUUGGCCCUAGGCAAGGCUAACCUUUGCCACAUUUGGCGAGGGUGGCCUUGAGCACAACCAACGAGGUUAGCAUAUCCCUUGCCAGCCCUUGCCAGCGGUCGAUAAGGGUGGCCAAGCUCUUGCCAGCCCUUACUAGCGACAACCCUUACCGACGGCCGCUCGCCAUCGUCACAUUAAAAAAAAAAAAAGUUAAACAAGGACAGAAAAAAAUAAUAAUAAUAAAUAAUCUAAAAUUAAAAUUGUAAUAGGACAAAAACACCCUUAAUUGGUCGAAAUGUUUAGUCUGCUGAAGCCGAAGACGGAUGAGGUCAAGCUUUUAUUUGAAACGACCAUAGCCACUUUAUGUCUUUAUUUAAAAUAAUCAUGAUCAUUUCAAGCAUUUAUUUGACACAAGAUUUACUUCGAGCCAUUUUUUGGAAUUUUCCCCAACUCUAAUGACUAAAAUAUCAGUAUUAUCUUGAAUAUACUUUCCUUGAAAAGACAGUCAAUAUUUUUAAUUUAAGGAUUUAUUUGUUUUAAGAAAAAUGAAAGACUUGAAAAACAUUUCUCUAAAAAAUGAUUGGUUAUGUUGCUCUAAAUAAUUAGCCAACAAAAAAUAUUUUCAUUAUCGAUAAUAAUUUGUGCCUGAACUUUAUUGUGGACGAUAAAAAUAUUUUUCGUUCAUAUAUUUUUGUUAGCAAUACAAUUGAUUAUAUUUAGAAAAAAAUAUUUUCUAAAUUGUGAUUUUUCACAAAACAAGCUAACCUAAGACUAAUCAAAUAAUUGAUUUGACUUGCAGUUCCAAUACGUUGGAAAAUACAAGUAAAUCUUAUAUAUUGAAAAAGUCUAUGCUGAUAAACAUGGCUGCUCAGUGCACGAAAUAAUGAACCCUGCACUUCCAAGAGGCCAACAUGUUGAUCCACAUGUUAUAACCCUGCUACAUUGAAGCGUAAUAGCUUGUUUUAUGGACAGCAAUGCUUACAUACACUAAGGGUGCAUUUGGAAAAACUUUUGGGGAAAGUCUUUAGGAAAAUGCAAAGGCCUUUUAAUGGUAUUUUUCAAAAUGCAAACUGUUUUUGGUAAAUUGUAAUUUAAAAGCCCUUGUGAAGUACCUUUGAGCAAAAUGGUGUUUGGAAGACAAAAGACUUUUGUGAAAAAAAAUAUUAUCAAAAAAUAAAAAUAAAAAAAAUGAAAACCGGCAAGGGCAGGCGGCAUCCGACGGCGACCCCCGGCAACCUUCGGCAACCCCGGAUCUAGGCCGGCGAGGUCGCGCGCGUCGCACGAUGCCGCCUCGACCUCCGAGAACCCCGAUUGGCCGUCGCGAGGCUACGCAACCCUUGCUUGAGGUUGGAGGACCUCGGCGAGGGCCGUGCUUGGGUCGUGCGACCUCGGCGAGGGUUGCGCCUGGGUCGUGCGACCCGAGCAACUACCGCCGAGGCCACCCUCGAUGGAGAAGAUGAACACUGAUUUGAGCAGCUACAGCUAGGGCCACCCUCGACGGAGAAGUUGAAUGGUGCUCCUCAUAAGGGCAAAAAAUGGAAAACAAAAAGUUCGUAAGGAUAAUUUCGGAAAUAUAUAUAUAUGAAUGAACAGUACCCCGAGCGGGCAUGCCGGAAAAGCCGAAAGCCCAAGGCAGGUCCUCCCCUGCCUUGGGCUUUCAGCCUUCACAAGGCUGGCCUUCUCCAAAGGGGGCUUCAAAUGUUUUUGCCAAACACCCCUACUUUAGCCCAAAGAUCUUUAGGGGCGCAAAGAUACUUGGCAAAGUGGUUGACAAACGGAGCCUAACUGUCCCUCCAGAAAGAACUUCAAAGUACUUGGGUCGGGUUUUUUGUGUUGACUGACUGCAAUGAAGUUGGUUGGUGUCGCUCAAGACUUCCAUGUGGUUUGGCAUUGGCCACUGGGAAUGUCUGUCAACAGCGUUCAUGUUCACCCAUCAGCAGAGGCUUUUCUGAAAAUCCCUAGCAGGGCAAAGGAAAAGUUACUGCAAGAAGUUUUCAUACACUUGCUGCCAUGUUACCUUGUCGGCAAGAAGCAGAGGAGAUAGUUUCCUUAUUAUUUGCCAUGUAAGAAACUAAGAGCAGAGGGCACGAUGAGAGGCAGACUGUCCAGGCAAACCUGCUGUUUUGAGUGGAACACACAAAAACAAACCAAAACAGUCUUCCUCAGUCAGUUAUUAAAACAGUAAAUUGGCAAUGAAUGUACUCUAUUGAGAGCGAAAGAAAGUUACAUCCUACAGGCCUGUCUGUAACGAAGUUGAUUGGCCCCAUUCAAGAUAUCCACGUGGUUUGGCAUUGGCAAUGUCUGUCAGCAGUAUUCAAGUUCACCCAUCGCUAGACACUUUUCAGAAAAUUCCCCGCAGAGCAAGGAAAAGAUACCUUAACUUGUUUCCAUAUACUUGCAGCCAUGUUCCUUAGUCAGCAAGCCAUCCCUCAAACUACGAUGUAAGAAGCAGAGAAAAUAACCCACAUAUGUAAUCGACCUGCGAUGAUAGUCUGAGUACCCAGCUCACCACACAUAUUCAUCACUAUUGAUUCAAACUGCCCAUCACCAUGAUCAUAUACCAUCCACUUCCACCUGUGCAUCUUCUUUAAGAACUACGGUAAAUAAGCCAUUACAUUACAUUAUCUCUCUCUCUCUCUCAAAGCACAUACAUUACACCCCAGGAAAGAACAUUGUUUUCUUUAGUUCCAUUUUGAGGAAGAGGCCCAAGAUAUUUGUGUAUAACGUCUGAAUUGCAUAUAGUACACAGUUAAGUUAUUGCUUUUAACAUCUAUUUAAUUCAAGAACAUCCUCACACCCCUUGAUCAUCUGUAUGAAUUUCACCUGUUGAUAUAUAUUAGGCACCAGAAGCACCAAUGAUGAGUCCAUGUACCAGUUAGAUACAGAGACUUAUUACAGAACCUAGGUAUCCAAUAAACAAACUUCACCUUCCACCCUUCCAAAAGCCUCGUAAUGAAGCAAGAGAGAGCAUCUCCCUGACUUAAAACAACUUCAUUAAUGGGACAUGGAACUCAAUGAGAUGAUGUGUGGAAGAAAACUUGCCGUCGAUCUGGUUUACUCUGCAUCACAUUUCAGCUGAAAAGGCAGACAGAUCUCACACACAAUGGAGAGUCCGACUGGAAGAAGAAGGAGAAGUAGUUCCAUUCGUCACAAGAUACUUAACCCACAACUCCAUCGUCCCUACAUUUGCAGAAAAACCCCUUUCGACCAUUUCUCCAACAAGUUGUGCUGCUCUCAUAUUUUCUUUAUUUCUUAGAAGCCCUUGGAUGAUGGUGUUAUAAGUGACACCAUCUGGAAUGCAUCCAUUUCCUUCCAUCUCCUUUAGCAGCUCAUAUGCUUCCUCCAUGCAUCCUCCUUUGCACAAUCCAUGCGUGACAAUAUUAUAUGUCUGCACAUCAGGUUGCAAGCCUCGAGCAUUCAAACAAUCAAACAACCCCUUAGCAUCGUCGAGCUUUCCAGCAUUACACAUGCCAUUCAUUAUAAUAUUGUAAGUCACAAUGUUUGGGACGAAUUUGGAACCUUCCAUCUUUCGAAGCAAUAUCAUGGCCUUGUCAAUCUGUUGCGUUUUACACAGGCCAUCCAGGAAAGAAUUCAAGGUAUAAUGAUCUAGAUACAGAUCGCGAGAUCGCAUCUCGUUAAUUAGCUCCCCCGCGGCUUCAAGGUUCCCAACCUGGCAAUAUCCAUUUAUGAGAGUGUUGUACGUGAUGACAUCAGGAUUCAAGCCCCUUUGAAGCAUUUCUUGGAAAAGCAUCUUUGACUUGUCAACUCUUUUCCCUUUGCAGUAUCCAUUAAUCAAUGUGUUAUAAGAAACGACAUUAGGUGAGCAGCCUCUUUCAACCAUCAAAUUAAGAACCGCCAUAGCAUCAUCCAUCCUAUUUUGCAAACAAUAACCAUUCAUCAAUGUACUAUAAGUGAAACUAUCAGGCAUUUUACCUAAUUGAAUCAUCUGGUUGAUUAUGGCCUCUGCUUCUACAAACAUUCCCUCUUUACAAUGUGCAUCCACCAGAAUAUUGAAGGUUUGAACAUUGGGCAUGACUCUGCUUUGCACCAUAUGACUCAGCAGUCUUUGGGCCUCUUUCAAUUGGCCGGAAUUGCACACUCCUUGAAUGACAGAGGUAUAAGUAACGACGUUCGGUUCAAUUCCUGACUUCAUCAUCUUCUCCAACAAGACUGUAGCAUCUUUCCAUUGGCCUAGCUUGCACAAGUAAUGAACCAAGGAGCUAUAAGUGAAUAUGUCGGGUUGGAUGCCUCCGCUUGUCAUCUCUUUCAACAAUAUGAGAGCAUCUUCCAUCUGACCUACAUCGCACAGACCAUGGAUCAAGGUGUUAUAAGUAACGACAUUUGGUUCGACGCCUUUCUUGCUCAUAAUGCCGUGGAGUCUCAACGCCUCUAUGAUGAAUCCCUUCUUGCAAAGACUAAAUAUUAUUAUGCUGUAUGCGAAGGAAUUGAUGCUGCAGCUUCUCUCUUCCCAGUCCCUUAGCAAUUCGAUCGCCAAUCUGGUGUUACCCAUCCUGCAUAACCCCUUGGCGAUUAUGGCAUACGUGGUCUCAUCAGGUUCGGGGCCAUUUCGUCCCAUAUCAUCGAGGAACCUCAAGGCUUGAUCAGUUUUGCCCUGAAUAAAGAGACCAUCAAUCAGGGUGUUCCACGUCACCACAUCGAUGUGAAACCCAAGCUUGAAGAUUCUGCCGAGAAUAGACAAGCCCAUAUCGACCCGCUUUAACCGGCAGAAGCAAUUUAUCCAAAUAUUGAGCAAGGCAACAUCACCCUCGAUCCCCAAAGAAGGCAGCUGCUCAAUCAAUCGGAUGACGGUCGAGUAGUGCUUCAUCCUCACUAUAGCGCCCAACAGUAGACUGAAAUCCCAGGGGGAAGGCAAAGGGCUCGCCUUUAUCAUUUUACCGAAGCAACACAGGGCAUCACCGACACUCGUAAACACACCACCACCACCACCACCAGCUCUGCAAUUUCUCCCCACGUAACUCAAGAAACAACUCGGGUCGUCUAAAUCAGGGUUAGGGGUCGAGGAAAACCUCCGACGACGGGGAGACGAGAAAGGGAGAUGGAGGAUGGAAUGGGAUGACGACUCGCUGGAGAUGGCAGCUGGAGCACGAAGAAGGAGGAAGAUGGAAGAAGCAGGGCAGAAAUUCGUUGGCUUCAUCGGUUGAUGAUGAAUCUGAAAACUGAAAAGCUUCUUCAGCUUAUGGCUCUCUUUCCAUCUCUCUCCCCGUCUCUCAUUAUCAAGCUUUUAUACAAUGAUUUCACAUCAUCAUUUAUUGACAAUACAAAUAUUUCUUAUAUCCAAUUUUUUAGAAAAAGUGAUACAAUUAAUCAUUUUCACCACAAAAUCAGAUUUUCAUUUUUCGUUAGUAGUGACUUGUGCGCACAAUUUUACUUUUCCUACAAGUAGGUGAGAUUUGCUGGAGCAUUGGACGGAUUGAUAAAUAGUGUGAUACCUUGAUGAUAAGCAUUUAACAAUAUAUUUCAAUCGGCUUAACUUGUAACUACGAUUGCGUAUGUUUGUACGGAUGAAUAGAUUAUAGCAUGUAAACACGGAAUUUAACUCAUUCUAUGUCCCGAUCCAACAAUUGAAGUUUGAUUUGACAAAUAUUUCUGACUCAAUCAUUCUUAAUUCCACUACAAGGCCUUGAGCAUUCUGCUUCAUAAACUGCAAUCCUUCUUAGAAAUAUAAUUGUUCAAGGAUUUAAACAAUAAUUCCAAAGAAGAUGAGAGAAAGAGAGAGAGCAUAAGUAGUGACAGGCUAUGACGUUAAAAUUUGACACACAAUCACAAGAAAAUAAAUUAAAAGAGAGAGAGAGAUUGAAACAUGAAAUUUAUCCUAGAUCGCUCCUAAACUAGGAGUACGUUCAACAAAUAACUCCACUAUAAUUAGCACAUUGCAUCUCUACGUUACAACUCUCAAUUACAAGAGAAAGAAAUCAUAUAUGCCUAGUAACUAUUCAUGGGCUUGAACCUAAAUUAUUAAUAAAAUAUGAACUCAAACUAUAAAAGCCCCAAAACUCCUCUAUGCCUUCCUAUUAAUUGGGAGUAUGAAUCACAUCCCCAACAUAUCAUAUAGUACAGAAAUUGUUGUCAGAGAGGCAAAGUGGCAAAAAAUAAGGAUGGAUUUGAGUGGGUCACGGAGUGAGAGAGAAGCAAUGGUGGGUGGCAAUGAAUACUCCGGUGGCAUAUGACGACACUCGGGCUAGUCAUUGGUGACUACGAUCGACGAGAGAGGUAGACAAGAACUAGAGGUCAAGAGGGGCAUCAAGCGUGAGUGAAUUAAUGGCAACGGGCUUACCCAAAUGAAAACCAAAAUGAGUUUACUUUCAUUAAGACUCUCCAAUUAGUACUAACUCAAACAUUUUUCCCAAAAGUCUUUUGAAAAGAAAAAACCAAAUUAAUACCUAUGAUAUAUUUAUCCAAACUAAUUUCAUCUCAUAGAAUAUCCCUAAUCGAUACCUCUCACACAAAUCUAUCCACCAUUAAAAUGCAUACAUGUCAACAUACAUGAAUUUUCAACAUCAAAUCAGUCAUUUUUCUCCUCUCAUUCAUCAUGUGUUGACAAGUAUGCAUUACAAGUAGAUUUUGGUUUGGAGUACCAAUUUGAGGUUUUAUUUUUUGUGAGACGAAAUUAAUUUGCGAUCAAUGUGCCAUGUAUUUACUAAUUUGAGAUUUAUUUAUUUAUUUUGGUAAGGUAAGUAAUAUAUUGACUUUUAACCAAAAACUAUACAACAGGGGUUCUUGGCACCAAAAAACUUACACUCACUUUGGAAUUUAUCGUGAUAUUAAUCCUUCAAAAUAUUAAAUGCUAUCCUCUGCUAGUGAAAUUUACUACCAUGAACGACAGUCUAAAAAUACUAAAGUUGAAUGGGAAAUAACUUUUGUACCUUCAAUCACUUCAAACAGAUAUUCACGUUCACAUAUGCAUCCUCUCUGAAGUAAAUAUGGGUAGGUAGGACAUUGGAGGGAUCACGGAUCAGGCUGUGUUAGGAAGAGAGCAAAAAGGAAAACCAGUAUCUCUCCCUCAAAGCACAUACACAAAAGAUUAAUCAGGAUUUAUGACCUCAACAUAAAUUUAAAAAAAAACAAAAAGGAUUUUUGUGCUUAGCAAACUAAAGUAUUAACAUCUUUUUAAUUUAGGAGCAUCCUCAUGCCGCUUGGUUGUUUAUAUGAAGCAUAAACCGACGGGUACAUGUACCAUGUAUGAACAGAGAUUUCUUGCAUAACUUAGAAUACACGAGAAACAAAACCCUCCUAAAAUCCUCAUAAUAAAGCAAGAGAAGAUCACCCAGACUUAAAACAACUCCAUUAAUGGGCAUGGGACUCAAUGAGAUGAUUUGUGGAGUAAAACUUGCCCUCAAUCGAGUUUACUCUUCAUCACUUUUCAUAUGGAAAGAGUGGACAGACCUCAGAAAAAAUGGAUAGCUCAACCAGAAAAGGAAAAAGUUCCGUUUGUCACCAGAUAUUUAACCAACAACUCCAUCGUUGCCAUACUUGCAGAAAAACCCCUUUCAACCACUUCACCAACAGCUUAUGCUGCUUUCAUGUCUUCCUUAUUUCUUAGUAGUCCUUGGAUUAUGAUGUUAAGAGAGACACCAUCUGGAAAGCAUCCAAUACUUUCCAUCUCCUUCAGCAGCUGAUACGCCUCCUCUGCACAUCCUCCUUCGCACAAUCUACACAUGACAGAGCUAUACAUCCACACGUCAGGUUCCAGCCUCAAGCAUGCAAACAAUUAAACAGCUCGAUAGCAUCGUCAAGCUUCCCGGAGUUACACAUGCCUUAUAUUAGAAUAGUGUAUGACACAAUAUCUGGUGUGAAUUUGGAGUCUUUCAUCUUUCGAAGCAAUAUCAGCCCAGCAUACUCGGUCAAUGGGUCAAGCAAGCAUCUUCACCAAUAGUCAUUGCAUGAGCAUGUUCCAUCCAUAAAAUGGUGGAACCUGUUUGCAUCCCUUACGACUAUAGGUCUUCCAGUUGCCAUGGAGAUAUAUUUGAUCGCAGAAUGACAAUCUCCACAAAUGCGAAGAUUCUUAAAUACCCUAAUAGAUUUCGGACUGGAGGUGCUUAUAAGGCCAAAAACAACAGCAAUUUUCUCACUGUGUUGGAGCAAAUAUUGUUCCUUUUGUCCCUCCUCCACAUCAUGAAGAACAAAUUGAGUAUUCGGAACAUAACCCAGUUUCUUUAUUCGACUAGCCAAUCGGUCCAGUUCCUCAUAGAUCUCCCGUGCCUUCGGAUGUGAAGCAUCACCCACAUAGAACUUGUGAACUGUAUUUUUCACUUCAAUCCAGCUACAACCAGCUUCUUUUGUAAGAUUUUUCAGUUUCAUCUUCUUUCUGAUUGCUGCAGCAUCUUCCCAUAGACCAGCCAAGGCAUAAAUAUUUGAUAGCAAAAUAUAAGUCGCAGGGUCAUCUGGUUCUUGCUCAAAAAUCAUUGCUGCAGCUUGUUUUGCAAGUUCAACAUUGCCAUGAACUCGGCAAGCUCCGAGAAAUGUACGCCAGACAAGUGUAUCAGCCCGGAAAGGCAUUGAAUUUAUAAACUGAAGGGCUUCGACAAGGGAUCCUGAUCUGCCCAAUAAGUCCACCAUACAUGCAUAGUGUUCGGUUCUAGGCACGAUUCCAUGUUCUGGGUACAUUGACCUAAAGUGUUUCCAUCCAUCAGAUAUCAAACCCACAUGACUACAAGAGGAUAAAACAGCAACAUAGGUGAUCUCAUUUGGCCUCACACCAGCAUCAAGCAUUUGAUGGAAUGUGUCUAGAGCUCUCGUCCCAAAUCCAUGCUUUGCAAAACCAGUAAUCAUUGAAGUCCAAGUUAUGACAUUUUUCUCUCUUGUCUCACUGAAAACUCGAAAAGCAGCUUCUAUGUUUCCACACCUGGAAUACAUAGAGAUCAAAGCAUUAGAAAUGCACUGAUUUGAAUCAAGCCCUGAUUUUACCAUCCUCGCAUGGAUUUGCUCCCCCUUACCAAUAGCGCCAACACUGGCAACUCCACUCAAAAGGCUGGCAAAUGUAAAAGCACUUGUUCCGAUCCCUCUCUCCUCAAUCUCAUGUAGUAGUUCAAAGGCUUCAUCGGACUCCAAACUUUUGGCAUAGGCAUCUACAAGGGUAUUAUAAGAAACCAGAUUCUUUUCAAAUAGCGCAUCAAAAGCUCUCUGAGCAUCUUCCAUGUGGCCCGACCGGGAAUACAUGCUGACAAGAGAAUUACCCACGCAAGUAUCACAGGCAAAGCCCAAUUUUAUAGCUAGUGCGUAUAUUUGUAUCCCCAUAUCUACAUCACGAAUAUUUCCACAUGCCUUGAGAACACCAGCAAAUGUGAAAUGGUUUGGCCUCACAGGACCUUUUGUCAUUUCCCAAAAGAGCUUGAUAGCCUCCUCAUUCUCUUCAGCCCGUGCAUAUCCUGUGAUUAUCGCUGUCCAAGACAUCACAUUGUGAUCUUGCAUCCGAUCAAACACCUUUCUCGAAUCAUGAAGCGAUCCACCAUCUACAGACUUGACAUACAUGUCCACCAAACUGCAUCCAACACAGACAUCCGAAGCCAAUCCAGACCGUAUAACCCAGGAAUGCAAUUGUACCCCGAGCGAUAGUAACUCCAACUCUGAACAUACAGACAAAACAGCCGUGAGUGUAAAUCUAUCUGGCACAGGCCCACUCACCAGCAUAUCCAAAAACAAAUCAACAGCUUUCUUUGGACUACCCAACUGAGUACAUCUCGUCAUCAUCAAAGUCCAAGCAACCACAUUCCUCUCGGGCAUUUUCUCAAACACCUUACGAGCUGAAACCAAAUCAGCACUACCCUUUGCAAACAUGUCAAUCAAUGCACACCCAACACACACAUCAGAAUCAAGAUAGCCGCUUUUGAUAAUAAACCCAAAAACCGUAUCGCCAAUAGAUGCACUCUCCGGGACCGAGCAAGCCCGAGCAACCGCCGCGAAACAAUAAUCAUUAGGGAAAAACCCAUCCUCGAGCAUAUGAACGAACGUAUCCACCGCUUCAAACUCCAUGUGAUUAUUGGCAUAGCAGGAGAUCAUGGAACUCCAAGAAACCAAGUCCCUCUUAUCGCCCAUGUCCCCAAAAACCCUCUCCGCCUCAGCCCAGUCGUUGGAUUUCGAGUAGAGACUGAUGAGCGAGUUGAGGAUCACCGAGUCGGGCUCGAGCCCGGACCGGGCGAGCGCGCGGUGGACGCGCCUCCCCAGCGCGAACGCGCGGGAGCGGAUGCAUGACUUGAGGAGGAGAGAGAAGGUGAGGACGUCGGGGUGGGACCCGUCGCGGGACGCGAGCUCGAGGCGCGUGAUUGCUCCGCGGAGGUCGCCGCCGUCGAGGCGGGCGACGAGGCGGCGGCCGUCGAGGGGCGAGGGGGGAAGGUUUUGGCGGGAAGGAGAGAGCUUGACGGUGGACGGUGGAGGGAAGAGAGAGAGAUUCAUUGCUCCAUGCAUGACCAGCAUGGCCUGCCACAUCAAGAAAUGUAAAUAGAUAGGUUCAUGAAUUACGUGGUCAAUUAUGCUUAUGAUUGAACUACUUUUCUUUUGCAUUACGUUCUUACCUAGAGGAAAGAUAAUCAAACGGUGGACGAUCUCGUAAUUUUAUUGUUAUACCUAAGUUGUUGGGACACUUGAUGUAGUUGAGAACGAUUCAAAUUCUGUUUGGGUAUCCACAUCAUCAACUCGCUUCUCGAAUGAAUACAAAAGAAGGCAGAGGGAGACACUUUAUCAAUAUCUCCUUCAAACAUGUCUAAGGACUCUUUUUUAAGGUGAUCAACUCCUGAUUCAGUUCGAUUCCAAUGUGGAAUUGGAAAUCGGAAAUCAGACCAGGACUAGGGACUAAACCGGUUGGUCCUACCACAGGGGAUUGGUCAUUAUUUCUUUUUUCAUGCUUCCAUUUGAAUAUCUUAUUAUCUAAAGCAUGAUCAAGAACAAAUUCAAGUCUUAAGACAAAUCUUAUGCAGACAGCGUGGCUUGUGUCCUCGCUGACAUGGCGAUUGUCACACCAAAUCAUGCAAAUUACGACUACUACACCACGUCUCUUUAUCCCACAACAGCUGCCUAUGGUCAUGCCACCUGGGUUACAGCACUUUCUUUCGGCGAUUGCGGCAUAUGUGUUAGCGCUGCUAAGACUCGAAUACUGGCAGACUGUCCAAACAGUCUUGGCGUCGAUAUGGUGUGAAGAUUGCAAUAUGAGGUAUGAAAACUAUUUAUUUACUGAUUAAAUAGUUCGCCGCCAAACCAGAGAGCCGUGUUCUAUUGUAUCGGUUGUUUCUGCCGCACAUGUUGCCAUGUUUGUUUUUGCAAUAAAUGAUAUCCUAGAAGAUAUGCUUUCUUUGUCAUUUUCAAGUUCUCAAAACAAUACUUAUUUAUUAUGAUGAAAAAACCUAACAAAAUAGCCAUAAGCUAAUGACUAGUGCGAAAAUGUGCUGUGUAUCUGAUCCAUUCUUACGUUCAUUAGAUUUGUUAUUACGAUCCUCAAGUGAGCCUUUAAGAGACAGUAGUUGGAGACCCACAAAUAAGAUGACGUGCUAGAUAGUGCAAAACCAAAAAAAAAAUCCUAAAUCAAUAAAAGGAAACGCUGCUUAUAGGCUAAAAGAAAUGGUUAUAACCUUGCUAAGGCCGCUUAUGAAUUUUUCCAUAUAAUUUAUAUGUUGAACUCGAAGCAUGACACCAUGCCAAAAUGCAGCAAGAAAUAACCAGGACUUUGGCCUCAAUAUUUGCGUAAGGGUCAUGCUUUAAAAUCAUUAAGGUGGUUGAGAACAUAUUACACCGUGCGAAGAAGGUACACAUGGAUAAGCUCAUUUCAAUGCCAAGAAACCAUUUCAUAGAUACCAAAUCCCCGAAGCAAAAUUUGUGAAAUCGAAACUGUUUCACAUCUCAAAUCAGUUAUUGGUAAUUUCCAAUCAUAUCUGUGUCAUCAACAUAAAGCAAAAUGAAUAAAUAGGAUGAGCUAAUGCAUAAAACACAACGGAAUUAUCAGCAUUAGAUUGAACUAAACCAACGCAGUAGAGAAUAGUUCAGAAACCAACUUUCUGUGACUAGGCAAGGAUGAUAUAUAUAAUCCCUCAAACAAUGCAAGAAGGCAUCUGCAAUGCAUAUGCAAGUCAAGUUAAUAAAGAUCGCCAUGUCGUGUUGCAGCAAAUAACAACUAUCAGCAAAACACGUACAAUGGCCAGCCACAUGAUGGCACAAAAAGUGUGGUGAUAAUCAAACUUAACCGUCAACCUUAAUUGCUCAGGAGGACAUUAAAGAGCAACUCUAUAAAGUGAAACUCUGGAGAUAUAAAUAAGGGAAAAAGACCCUUCUAUAUACAAGUAUAAGGCUAAUCAUAAUCAUAGAUCAACAGUAAAAAUUACAUCUUCCCCUUAUUCCAACUACCUACAUUUAUCACAAGAGUAUGCAAUUAUUAUAUGCCUCUUCCAAAAGUUCUAUAGAAUAAUCGAGAAAGCCCUUGUCUCUGGAGAUAAUCAAGGAUUGCUCGUUCAUGGACAGAAACCUUUUAGAUCGUAUCACUUCCUUGGACCACGACACAUGUGCCUUACUUCACUUUACACCAUCUGAUAAUCUUAUUAUUUCUUAAUUUUGCACACCCAUCUUAUUCAGAAGAAAAGAUGCAAGAGACCACAUUUUGGUAUUAUAAAAAACACGCGAUGUACCUGACUAGCUUUCCACGUAGUCGAAUAUUCCAGCUUGAUUGCAAUUAUUAGGAUCAAUAGUGGAAGAUAAAGCACUAUCUACAAAAAUGGGAAGAAAAAUGUUUUGGGCAAAAUUUUGUGCUCUGGAGGAGAAGAAGCACCACCAAAUUGUGAAGGUAAUUGAAAAAAACUCUAAACCUAUUGCAUUUUAAGCAAUUCAGUCAUAAAUCUUUUAAUUUUACCAAUUGACUCCUAAAUUUUUUCACUUCUCACCAGUUGAUUCUAUUGGCCGAAAAUUACUGACAGUGAAGGCCGGGUUGACGUGACAUUUUUUAAAUAAUAUUUUAAUAAUAUUUUGAAGGUUUUUUUCUUCUUCUUCUUUUUUUUUUUUUGCUUUUUUUUGGGGGGUUGGAUAUAGGGUCGGUCAACCAUCGCCAGCCAUAGGUGAGGGCCGCUGACCCCCCCCCCCCCCUUUGCCAACCAUACGGGAGGGCCGGCUGACCCUCGCCGAUGAAAGUGAGGGCAUGCAAGCCCUUGAGCAAAAAUGGCGAGGGCAGUGACCUUGUGUCCUCAGAUCUUACUCAUGAUUUGCCUAGAAAAACAUCUUCUCAACAAAGAUGAAGGUUUUUGAUUUAGAGAUAAGAAGCUUUGGAACCCUCCAGAGCGAAAGUAUAGCGAAAGUAUAGCGAAUAAAUUUAAACAUUUGCUUGUUUGACUUGAUUGAGCUAGAUAACAAUCUAAUCAAGCUCAUCUCUUUUAUUCAAGUCAAAGCAACUGCAAAUUCUUAAUUCUUAGACUAACUUAAACCAGCUAUGCAACUCAUCAUGAUUCAACCACAAAGCAAAGACAUUCUCUAUCCACCCCAUGGUCCAAUGAUUAUGCAAAUCAGGUAAUACCAUACCAUUAAACUUUAUUUACACGACCUCGCAAAUGCAAGUACGGCCCUUCUAACAAGCAAAAACUGAACUAGGAAGAAGGGUCAAGAUACAAUGAUGACUCAAAAGUCAAAGCGACACAUCUUUGUGUGUGCUUUCUGCAUUUACAAUACGCCUACCAGCAACGAGUCAUGGAUGUCCAGGUUUUGAAGCAGUGUCAUUGUUCUGUCCAUUUCUUGCCGCACUUUUGUGAACCAAGUUGUGUAGAAAAAUUGCUUAUUUGGACCAACACGGUUGCACAGGAGCCGCACCUUUUGUCUCUCUCUCAUCCAUCCCAACACUAAUUUCAUGUGCCUUUUGCUAGUCAGUCCUCUUAAACCAACUUCCUCAAUUGUCUUGAGACGAUGAUCAGCAAAUUAAGCACACCAAGAUAACAAUAAAAAUGAUGAUACCUAGGAGAUGCCAAGGUGUUGAUGCAUUAUGCAGCAGAGAGGCAAAGAAUAAGGGAUGAGAAUCAGCAAGCACUGAAAACGUUUAAAAACAAAAAAGACAUUACUUGAACGCGUUCCCAGGUGUCUGCAAUCGUGAGAGGACCAUGCUCCUUCAACAGGCCAAAGAUGAUCCUCGUGAUGGUUUGUUUCUGCUCUGGAGGCAUCUUGAGCUCAAUCAGUUUCAUCUUCGGUUUCGGCUUCCUAACCGAAUCAGCAAAAGAGUCAGCUUGGAAGACAGUCACAGAGUCAGCAAAAGAGCUUCUUAUAACUUAAAAACUAGCAAGCAAUUCCAGGUAUUGCCAUAUGACAAAAUUGAACCAUCAGUAAUUUUAACCCACGACGAAAUCAGGUUUGUGUUUUUCUUAUUCGAAGAAGUGAGAAUUCAUGUGUGCAUUUUUAUCUCUUGCAAGUUGUUGGGACUUGCAGGAUUAUGGAUGGCCUGGUAAAUAAUGUGAUGAUAAGGAACAUCUAACAGGGCACGCGAUGCAUAAAAGGACUAUAGCAUUUGGCAUCGAAUUUAACUCACUGUACUUCUAAGUUAACAACUGAAAUUUGAUCUGACAACAUAAACAGAGAGAUUUUGCAGAGUAUAAAUAGAUAUGUUCCUUAUAAUUCCGUGGUUGUUAUAAACAAUGAUCAAUGCCUUCAUCAAGUGUACAAAUUCCAUAUGAAUCAUAGCCAAGUGUUGCAGAUCUAAACUUACUUUGACAGCAUAGAAUAAAACAUAACUUACACUUAAUUUGAUCAAAGGCCGUCAUCAUGCUUGCCUUCGAAAAGGAAGAAGUUUCAUUUGUCACGACAUAUUUAACCCACAACUCCGUAGUCACUACAUCUGCAGAAAAACCCCUUUCAACCAUUUCAUUGACAAGUUCUGCUGCUCUGGUAUUUUCAUUAUUUCUUAAUAGUCCUUGGAUGAUUGUGUUAUAAGUGACGUCAUUUGGAAGGCAUCCAUUUCCUUCCAUCUCCCUUAACAGCUGAUAUGCUUCCUCCAUGCAUCCUCCUUUGCACAAUCCAUGAAUAAUGACAUUGUAUGUCCACACAUUAGGUUGCAAGCCACGAGCAUUCAAACAAUUAAAUAGCCCCUGAGCAUCGUUGAGCUUUCCAGCAUUACACAUGCCAUUUAUUAAGAUAGUGUAAGUCACAAUAUCUGGGACAAAUUUGGAAUCUUCCAUCUUUCGAAGUAAUAUCAUGGCCUUGUCAAUCUGCUGCACUUUACACAAGCCAUCCAGGAAAGCAUUCAAGGUAUAAUGAUUUGGAGAUAGAUCGCGAGACUGCAUCUCCUUAAUUAGCUCCUCCGCAGCUCCAAGGUUCCCAACCUGGCAAAAUCCAUAUACUAGAGUGCUGUAUGUGAUGUCGUUAGGAUUCAGGCCCCUUUGAAGCAUUUCUUGGAAAAGCAUCUUUGAUUUGUCAACUCUUUUCCCUUUGCAGUAUCCGUUGAUCAACGUGUUAUAACAAACAACAUUAGGUGAGCAGCCUCUUUUAACCAUCAAAUUAAGCACUUCCAUAGCAUUGUCCAUUCUAUUUUGCAAACAAUAACCAUUCAUCAAUGUAUUAUAAAUGAAACUAGAAGGCAUUUGACCUAAUUGUAUCAUCUGGUCGACUAUGGCCUCAGCCUCUACAAGCAUUCCCUCUUUACAAUAUGCAUCCACCAGGAGAGUGAAGGUUCGAACAUUCGGCAUUACUCUGCUUUGCACCAUAUGACUCAGCAGUCUUCGAGCCUCUUUCAAUUGGCCAGAAUUGCGCGCUCCUUGAAUGACCAAGGUAUAAGUAAUGACGUCCGGUUCAAUUCCUGCCUUCGUCAUCUUCUCCAACAAGACCGUAGCAUCUUUCCAUUGGCCUAGGUUGCAUAAGCAAUGAACCAAGGAGUUAUAAGUGGGUAAAUCGGGUUGGAUUGCUCUGCUUGUCAUCUCUUUCAACAAUGUGAGAGCAUCUUUUAGCUGGCCUACAUUGCACAGACCAUGAAUCAAGGAGUUGUAAGUAACAACAUCUGGUUUGAUCACUUUCCCACUCAUACUUUCAUGGAGUCUCAACGCUUCUGCAAUCAAUCCCUCCUUGCAAAGACUAUCGAUCACUAUGUUGUAUGUGAAGGAACCAAGCCUGCAGCUUCUCUCUUCCCAGUCCCUUAGCAAUUCAAUAACCAGUCUGGUGUUACCCGCCCUGCAUAACCCCUUUGCGACUAUCGCAUACGUGGUCUCAUUAGGUUCGAGGCCGUUUCGUUGCAUAUCAUCGAGGAACCUCAGUGCUUGAUCAGUUUUGCCCUGAAUAAAGAGACCAUCAAUUAGGGUGCUCGAUGUCACGACAUUGAUGGGAAACCCAAGCUUGAAGAUUCUGCCCAGGAUAGACAAACCCAAAUCAACCCGCUUUAACCGGCAGAAGCAAUUCAUCCAAAUAUUGAGCGAGGCAACAUCACCCUCGAUCCCCAAAGAAGGCAGCCGCUCAAUCAACCGGAUCGCAGUCGAGUAGUGCUUCAACCUCACUAAAGCACCCAGCAGUAGAUUAAAAUCCCUGGCGGAAGGCAAAGGGUUCGUCUGUAUCAUUUUACCGAAGCAACACAAGGCAUCGCCGAUACUCGUAAACCCACCACCACCGGCUCUGCAAUUUUUCCUCACGUAACUCAAGAGCCGGUUCGGGUCGUGGAGAAUAGGGUUAGGGAUCGAACAGAACCUCCGACGAACGCUGGAGAUCGCAGCUGGAGCACGAAGAAGAAGGAAGACGGGAGCACCACAGAGGCUCGCGCGCUUCAUCGGCAGCUUGAUGAUGAAUCUGAAAACUGGAAGCUCUGCUUUUGCUCGGCGGUCUCUCUCUCUCUCUCUCUCUCUCUCUCUCAAAGUCGGACAGUCUCUAUACUUCAAUCCUCUAUUUAGGGCGCGUUUGUUUAAACGUGUUUCUGUCCCGGAACACAAAUAUUUAUUAUUUUGUUUCGGAAAAUUAAACAAAAAAAAGUAGAAACGCAUUUAUUUACAUUUUUUAUUCUCGAGAAUAAAUUUGGAACAAAAAUAAAAAAGUAGAAAAAACUUAUUUCUUGCAAGGCCGAGCCACGGCGAGGCUCCCGGAAAGGCCAAGCCACAGCAAGGCUAGUCGAGGCUCCCGAAGAGGCCGAGCCAUAGAUUUGGCACAACACACUCUAGACACUAGGGUGGGUAAACCUCAUCGAAGUGUCGUCGGCCCCCGAAGAGGCUGAGCCACAGUAAAACUUGUCAGCCCGAGCCUCGCCGUGGCUCACGAUGGCCACGUGAGGCUCGGCCUCAUCAGGCCACCUCCAGCAUGGUGUCACCUGGCGGUGGAAAAUGCUGAAUUUGGUUCAAUUUUGAAAACGCUCUUAGGAAAAUGCACAUAUCUUUAAGCUAAUUUUUUUUUUCUUUUUUUUAUCUAAAACCCUUUUAGGUUUUAGAGGUCAAGGGUUUUGAAGAAAUACAAAAGUUGGUUAAAUUUUCUUUGCAAAGCUAUUUUGGAGUAAUGAAUGUUUGGUAAAUUUUUUUAUAAAGGGCUUUUGGAUUUCAUUUUUCUUUUUUAUUAAAAAAUGUUAAACUCUUUACCAUCCCUAAUAAAGGUAAAUGUAAUUUUGGAACAAUGAGAAAUAAAAUUGAAAAACCAAAAAAAAUUAUGAUAAUAGUUUGAGGAAAAAAAAUGUAAUUUCAGUAUUUAAUCGAAUGCUAAAAGCCCAAAACUGAUCUCUAUCGGCAUUGGGCUUUUAACUUUUCCAAAGCCAACAUUUGACUAAAAGCUCAUUAGAUAGGCUUGCCAAACACUACAGCAUUUUUCCAACGGAGCUCAUUACGAAAACUGAACCAAAUGCACCAAAGUCUUAUUACUGCCUUGGUGUCACGGAUGCCUUCAACGUCCAAGCUGGCUGCUACCAUGGCGUCUUUCAUAAUGCACAAGCAGCAGGAAAGAUCGGCUUUUACCAAGGCGGCACUAUAAACUGUACUCUCAAUAUUGAAAUAAAUAUGAUCGCUAUUGCUGAUUCGUUUCACAUAAUGUAGCUCUGAGGCUCUAAUGCUGAUACUAUAGCACACAAACAGGGAGUGGUGAGGCAAUUCUAUCUUUUAUGCAUCUUAUGGCAGUAUAAUCUUAUGACCAUGCAUAGUUUUUUAAGGAAACUAAUUGGCCACUUACUCUUUAUUUAGAUCAAAACAUAUAAUAUUGAUUUAGUGAGGCUGGAGAUGCUUUAGGUCUUUAGAUUCCGUAGAAAGGACAUAAGUUUGUUGUUAUAUUUUAUGAGAUGUUUCAUGGUUGAGCCUCUGUAUGGGUGUUGGAGACUGAUGUUUAAAUAAGAUACUACAGCUAGGAAGAAUUCUCUCCUAGCACAGAUAUAUUUUUCACCACUUUCCUUUUCUUUUCUUUUUUUUAAAAAGAAAGUGGGGGGACUUUUGCAUUGCAGUAGAAUAAUAUUGAGGUCCGCAUGUGUGGUGCUGAUUUUGAUGAAUCAUUCUGCGUGGAAAGGAGUCCAUUCUUUCUUGUUGUAACAUGUCUAAUGCCAUAAGGUUGCUGGUAUUUUUCUCUGUUUUGGCAUGAAUUUCAUAUGCUUGGUCAGAGGAAUUUGCUUUUUCUGGUUUUCCAUGCACGCGCGUGCGUGAGAGAGAGAGAGAGAGAGAGAUAGAGACCGCAGCCCCCGAGGGGGGGACGACUUCUAAUCUCUGUUUUCUUGUCAGAUUUUACCAGGAUAUUGUGGUUUACACUUUGGUUUCUGUGGCAUGGGACAUGAAUUGACUGGCGGAUUAAUUUGCUGUUAAUUACUCUCUUGUACUGUAGGUAUUGAUCUUAAGUGAGAAGCUUCGUUCUGUCACUACACAGUUUGAUCAGCUAAGAGCCAUAAGCUUCCAGGAUGCUAUUAAUACGGUGAGACCUAGAAGAAAACUUAAUCAGUCUGCCAGUUCUAUUCCUGCAGAUAACUCACAUGGUAAUGUAGAAUUCAAAGAGUCUAACGAAGUUCCAGGUGAGCUUCUAAGAGUCCAGCAAGAACACUUGGAUGUGAGACAGAAGCCCUUCCGGUAAUCACACAAUCCACUUUUUUCCUUGGGAAAACUGAUUAUUGAUGAUGCUGAUCGGUUAUUUUACUCUAGCAUUCAAGUCACUCAGACUUUUGUUCUGGCAUAUGUAUUGCUCAGGUAGAGUUGACGAGCCUUCUAGAUGCAGUCCAACAAACGGAAACGAAGAUGGUGGAAAUGUCUGCAUUGAAUCACCUCAUUUCUACACGUGCUGCAGCAAGCUCAGCAGAUAGAGCAUCUAUAUGAGCAGGUGACAACUUUUCUUUCAUUCCUUGUUUUAUGUGUGGUUUUAUUUUUUGGUUAAAAUUCUUGUGUGGUUUAGAUGGAUUAAAGUAUGCAUCAUUUUCUGCCCCAUCUUAUCUGUAUCUCCUGUUUCGCACAUUUUUCUUUGCAUGGUUUACCCACCCUAGUGUCUAGAGUGUGUUGUGCCUGCACAUAUAUUUUUCCAUUUGAUUUGGGUUUUUCAGCUUAACCUGGGCAGCUACUAGGCAUUGUUUUAAUGAAAUCUUUAGAUUUGAUUGCAAUUAUAUCUCUCUUAAUCAGAAAUUUCGAGUAGGAGUCAAAAGUUGUAAAACUCGUGUUCAAAUUGGAGAAGUUGACUUUUGGACCAACUAGGUUUUCGAACGCCCCCCUUUCCCUCUUCAAAGGGAAAAAUUAUUAGGUGGAUGUAUCCAACUGAACAUUGGAUUAGGUGUUUCAAUGUGGAAAGUGGUGGACCCACGAGAUUGAAUGAUCCAGAUUGAUGAGGUGCUUGUUUUGGCUAUUGAUAUGUUGAAUGGUUGGAGAGGGUCAGCACGAUGGAAAAAGGGGAUUUUAUGACGUGGUUGGAGGUGGUGUUUUUUAUUUCUAUCAACGUUGCUGAUGUUGCUGAAGCAGGGAAAACAUUGAACUUAAUUUCUUGUUGAAUGUUGUGCUGCUUUCAUGAGUUAGAAGAGGAAGAUUGGAGGCAAAAAGGGUGAAGUUCCAAUCUGUGGAGUAGAUGUAAAUUGUCCCUGGGCAUUCAGUUGUUCUGCAAGAGAAACACCGCUCUUCCAUGACCUUUUUUUUUUUUUUUUGUACGGCUGCACCUGCGGGGUAUUCUGUUUGGAUUUGAGGGAAGAGCUGAGGAGGAAGGAAUGAUGAAUUCGCCACUCCCUGAAUUUUAACCAAUCAACAGUUUUAGAAGAAGCGAGGGCAUGCUUGUCCUUGUAUCAUCUAUUUCGUGAGCUCCAACAAGGGAUCUCAUGGGAUGCAUGUGAAUGCAAUGGUCUAUGUAAAUUUGUGAGUUCUAGUCAAGCUAAGAUAGAAUAGGUUAAAUGCUAUCCAAUAUAGGAUAUAAAAAGAAGAAACAAGCAUUCAAGGAAUAAGCAAAGGAAUCAAGAAUCUUCUUGAUUAAUUUGUCUAGAAUCGUUGUGGUUAAUGAAAGAUUAUUCCAGAGAAAUAGACGACCCUUAAAUGAGAGUACCAGAUGAAAAAGACAGGAGCAACAUCGGCAACAUACACAUGAAUAUUGAGGGACAAUUGAAACAAGGCUAGGCCCUCAAUAAUUCCAAAAAAGAAAACUCAGGAUUAGCAAUGAUUCGUGGGAGAGAGCGACAAAUUUGUGUAUGCUUAAAUUGUACAAUUAUGUGCAACUGUUGCUCAAAUAGUAAAAAGGACACGUGAGCCAAAGAAAAAAGGACAAAUGCAAACUAAAGAAAUACUUUGAAUUACUUAAACAGAUCAAAUUGCAUAUCUAGCCCUCAGCAAAAUAUGAAAUUGCAUUGUUUCCAUUCUAUAAACAAAUAGUUAGAAGCUUUUAAGAUUGUUUAUGCAUUGGUACCAUGGAAGAAAGCUUGAGAUGCUAAUCAUAGGAGAAAACCUAUUGGGUACAACUGCUAUAAAUAGUCAAGACUUGAGCCUAUCAAGGUACAAAGUUGGGUUGAGAGAAAAAUUAAGGUAUAUCACGUUAUGGAUACUAAUAAUGCUACUGUUGUCCCUCUUGAUGUUCAAUAUUGUUAAAGGUGCUCCAAAAAAUGGCAUAGUUUAUUGGGCUUACAAUACUGGUUCCCAUUGAAGUGGCGAUCAUUAUGCAAACGGCAUGGCUUAUGUCCUCGAGGACAUGACGACCGUGAUGCCAAAUCACGUGGACUACAACUACUCCACUGCAUCUCCUUAUCCCGCAACAACCACCUAUGGUCACACUUCCUGUUGCCAAGCACUUUCUUAUAGUGACUGUGGCAUAUGCAUAAUCUCUGUUAAAUCCCAAAUACUGGCCAUCUGUCCAAAUAGUUAGGGCGCUCAAGUCGAGCUUGAAGAUUGUAGAAUGAGGUAUGAAAACUACUCGUUCACUGUAAUUUGGCGCCGAACAUAGAGAACCUUGUUUGAAUUGUAAUGGCACUGGGAUGUGCAUUGCUUAAGUGUGUUGAAGAAUAAAUGCUCUAGUCAUGUAUCCUAACUUAUAUUUUGUGUAGUUGUUUCUGCCAUUCAUGUUGUCAUGUUUAUUGUUGGAAAUGAUAUGAUAUGUUUCUCCUAUACCUUUUUUGUUAGUUUAAAGUUCUCAAAAUUGCCUUUUUAUUACCGAGAAAACCUAAGAAAGCAGCUAAAAGCUAAUGACUCGUAUGAAAAAUCAAAUUUGCAUUGUCUAAUUUGCACGUCAUUGGGUUUGUUCCUAUGAUACUUAAGCGAGCCUUCAAGAGACGGCGGUACGCAAAUAAGAGGACGUGCAGGAUGGUGCAAAACCAAAAGCCGGAAUCAAUAGAAGGAAACGCUGCAUAAAGGCUAAAAGAAAUGGUAACGACCUUGCUAAAGUCGCUUGUGAAUUUGACAUAUACGUUGAACUCGAAGCACAACUCCCUGUUGAAAUUCCAAAAGAAAUAACAACGACUUUGUCCCUAGUAUUUGCAUACGGAUCACCACUUGAAAAUCAUUAAGGAGGUUGAGAACAUAUUUACAGCAUACAAGACAGAUGUCACGUGAGGAUUCAGUCUUUUCGUUGCCAAGAGAAUAUUUCCAAGAAGCCAAAUCAGCAAAACAGAAACUAUGUCAAAUCAAAUACUGCUCAUACCACAUGAGUGUCAUCAGCAUAAACCAAAAUAAGUACAGAGGAUGAGCUAAUGCAUGAAAAAGAAAAUGGACUUAUCAACAUAAGAUUGAACCAAACCAGCAUCUACUAACGCAGUAGGGGAUACUUAAGAAACCAAUUUUCUCUGAAGAUUUUACUUUUCAUCGUAAAAGUGGCCUUGCUUCAGUUGAUAAGCCAAUGAACCUGCGUUGUCAAAUCAGGAAACGGGCAAAAGAGACAGCCAAGGAGUUGAUCCUCUUGUGAUAUAUGCACAACUUCAAUUUGAACCUUUUGCUUGACGAGUUCUUUUUUCUGAGUUCAAUUGAUCAUGUCUGUCAUGGUAUCCACACGUCAACUUAGCUCAAAGACUUGUCUCCAAAACGCUUGCAUGCUACUACGAUUGGGUCAGCAAACAAAGAGUAGAGGGCAUGCCGAGAGGCAGAUUGUCCAGGGAAAUCCUCCUGUCAUAAGUGAGACACUUAAAAACAAACAGAAAAAUGUGCUCCCGAGUCAGUAAUUAAGACAGACACAAAUGGCAAGGAAUUCACCUCUAUCGAUCAGGAAAGUAAUUCAAUUGAUGCAGUGGAAAAGACGAUGGAAUUUACAUAAUCUGGGCCUGACCACGAUGAAGUUGAUUGUUGCUCGCUCAAGACGGCUAGCAUUGUUUGUCAACAGCAUUCUUGUUCACCCAUCAUCAGAUGCUUUUCGGAAAAUCCCUUGCAGUGCAAAGGGGAAGAUACUUCAAGUAGCUUUCAUACACUUGCAGCCACGUUUCUUAGUCAGCAAGCCGUCCCCCAAACUUUGCUUUUAAUUUGCACGUAAGAAGAAGAGCAAAUAGACCAAAUAUGUAAUCGACCUGUGGUGAUAAUCUGAUACACAGCUUGACCCAAAUAUACUCCACUGGCGAUUCAAACACCAUCCACUUCAAGGUAUGCCUCUUCUUUGAAGUAUCUGUGGUAAAUAGGACAUCAAAAGGAUCAGAUUGUGAAAAAAGAAAGUGUAUAACAGAAAACUAGAAUCUCUCUCUCAAAGCACAUACACAAUAGGCUGAUCAGGAUUUAUGACAUAAUAUACUUCAUUACAUAGUAAAGUUAUCGCUAUUAACAUCUAUUUAAUACAAUAUCAUCCUCAGACUGCUUGAUCAUUUGUAUGAAUUUCCCCUGUUUGAAAAACAUUAGGCACCAAAAGCACUAACAGAUGAGUACACAUAAUAGUUCAAUACAGAGAUUUCGUACCGAACCUAGAUAUACGAGGAUAAAAAUCCACCUUAUACCCCUCCAAAUAUUUGCCGUCUUGGGCAGUUCAAUUCAGUGAAUUGUCUCUGAGAUUUGAAACAACUUCAUCAAUGGGACAUGGGACACAAUGAGAAGAUGUUUGGAAGAAAACUUGGCGUUAAUCUAAUUUACUCUUCAUCACAUUUCAGAUGAAAACUUGGACAGAUCUCAGAGACAAUGGACAGUUCUCCUAGUAAAGGAAGAAGUUCCAUUUGUCAUGAGGUAUUUGAUCCACAACUCCGUUGUCGCUACAUCUGCAGAAAAACCCCUUUCAACCAUUUCAUCAACAAGUUGCGCUGCUCUAGUAUUUUCGUUAUUUCUUAGUAGUCCUUGGAUCAUUGUGUUGUAAGCGACACCAUCUGGAAAGCAUCCAUUUCCUUCCAUCUCCUUUAGAAGUAGAUAUGCUUCCUCCGUACGUCCUCCUUUGCACAACUCACGCAUGAGAAUGUUAUAUGUGCACACAUUAGGUUGCAAGCCUCGAGCAUGCAAACAAUUAAACAGCCCCUUUGCAUUGUCGAGUUUUCCAGCAUUACACAUGCCAUUUAUUAGGAUAUUGUAAGCCACAAUGUUAGGGACAAAUUUGGAACCUUCCAUCUUUCGAAGCAAUAUCAUAGCCUUGUCAAUCUGUCGGGUUUUACACAAGCCAUCCAGGAAAGCACUCAAGGUGUAACGAUCUAGAGAGACAUUGCGAGAUUGCAUCUCGUUGAUUAGCUCCCCUGCGGCUUGAAGGUUCCCAACCUGGCAAUAUCCAUUUACAAGAGUGUUGUAUGUGAUGACAUCAGGAUACAAGCCCCUUUGCAGCAUUUCUUGGAAAAGCAUCUUUGAUUUGUCAACUCUUUUCCCUUUGCAGUAUCCAUUAAUCAACGUGUUAUAACAAACAACAUUAGGCGAGCAGCCUCUUUUAACCAUCCAAUUAAGCACUUCUAUAGCUUCGUCCAUUCUAUUUUGCAAACAAUAACCAUUCAUCAAUGUAUUAUAAGUGAAAAUAUCAGGCACAAUACCAAAUUGAAUCAUCUGGUCAACUACGGCCUUUGCCUCUGCAAGCAUUCCUUCUUUACAAUGUGCAUCCACCAGAAUAGUGAAGGUUUGAACAUCUGGCAUUACUCUGCUUCGCACCAUAUGACUCAGCAGUCUUCGGGCCUCUUUCAAUUGGCCGGAAUUGCACACUCCUUGAAUGACAGAGGUAUAAGUAACGACGUUCGGUUCAAUUCCUGCCUCCAUCAUCUUCUCUAACAAGACCAUAGCAUCUUUCCAUUGGCCUAGGUUGCAUAAGCAGUGAACCAACGAGCCAUAAGUGAAUAUGUCAGGUUGGAUGCCUGCGCUUGUCAUUUCUUUCGACAAUCCCAGAGCAUCUUCCAGCUGGCCUACAUUGCACAGACUGUGAAUCAAGGAGGUAUAAGUAACAACAUCUGGUUUGAUACCUUUCUUACUCAUGCUUUCGUGGAGUCUCAAGGCCUCUGUGAUCAAUCCCUCCUUGCAAAGACCAUCGAUUACUAUGUUGUAUGUGAAGGAAUUGAUCCUGCAGCUUCUCUCUUCCCAGUCCCUUAGCAAUUCGAUGGCCAAUCUGGUGUUACCCGCCCUGCAUAGCCCCUUGGCAACUAUCGCAUACGUAGUCUCAUUAGGUUCGGGGCCAUUUCGUCCCAUAUAAUCGAGGAACCUCAACGCUUGAUCAGUUUUGCCCUGAAUAAAGAGCCCAUCAAUCAGGGUGCUCGACGUCACCACAGUGAUGGGAAACCCAAGCUUGAAGAUUCUGCCCAGGAUACACAAACCCAUAUCGACCUGCCUUAACCGGCAGAAGCAAUUCAUCCAAAUGGUCAGCAAGGCAACAUCAUCCUCAAUCCCCAAAGAAGGUAGCUGCUCAAUCAAGCGGAUGGCAGUCGAGUAGUGCUUCAUCCUCACUAUAGCACCCAACAGUAGACGGAAAUCCCCGGAGGAAGGCAAAGGGCUCGCCUUUAUCAUUUUACCGAAGCAACACAGGGCAUCACCGAGACUCGUAAACCCACCACCACCAGCUCUGCAAUUUCUCCUCACGUAACUCAAGACCUGGUUGGGGUCGUCUAAAUUAGGGUUAGGGGUCGAGGAAAACCUCCGACGACGGCGAGACGAGAAAGGGAGAUGAGAAGGAUGAAGGAGAUGGAGGAUGGAAUGGGAUGACGACUCGCUGGAGAUCGCAGCUGGAGCAUGCAGAAGGAGGAAGAUGGAAGAAGCAGGGCAGAACUUCGUUGGCUUCAUCAGUUGAUGAUGAAUCUGAAAACUGAAAAGCUUCAGCUUACGGCUCCCUCUCUCCGUCUCUCCCUAUCAAGCUUUCAUAUUCGGGCUUGGUUUUUUGGUGGCAAAAGAUAGUGUUAAAAAUUGGUACAAAUAGACACUUAUAAAGCGCUAAAAGUUACCAAAGUGAAGUACUAAAAUCGGAGCAAAAUAAAUUAUUUAAGUCUGACUAAAAUGUUAACUUGCGCAAUUUCCAGCGAAGUAAAUGCAAAACGGCGUCGUCUUGCGUUGAUGUGGAUGGACAAUGCAAAAACGAGGUCGUUUUAAUAUUAACAUGGUAAAAAAUUAAUAUAAAAAUUAAAACAUUUAAAAAUAAAAAGGGAGGGAGGCGGCUGAGAAUUGAGCCCUUGCCGCCACUACCGCCGAGAAGGGCCGGCGACCCCGGCCGGCCUACGGCAAGGGCUCGCGAGCCCUUGCCCCAAUCUAGGCGAGGGCUACCACCCAUCCUCGCCCGGCCGGGCCAAGGGCCGCCACCCUUGCCCCAGAUCGGGGUGAGGGCUUGUGGGCCCUAGCCAUCAGUUGUCGAGGUCACCGACCCCUGGCCAGGGCCUGGCGACCUCAGCCGACCCUCCCCCCGUAACGGCCCUUCCCGGCAGGGACGAGAACUUAGCCCUCAGCUGCCUCCCUCCUUUUUUCUUUUAAUUUUGUUAAUUUUUUUAAAUAGUAUUUUUAUUUUUAAAUAUUUUAAAUAAAUUUAGUUUUAUAUUUCAUUUAAUUAAUUUUUAUAUUAAUUUUUUAUCACGUCAGCAUCAAAACGACGCUAUUUUGCACUAAAUUCACCUGAAAAUCGACACAUCAGCAUUUUGACUGAAUUUUUGUCGAAUUGGCACUUAAGUGAUCUAUUUUGCUCCAAUUUUGGCACUUAAAUGUCAUUUUCGUAACGUUUGGCACUUAAAUAUCCUUUGUGCCAACUUUUGACACUCUAGGGGUCCUGGUGUCGUUUCUUGGUUAUAAUAUCGAACAAAAAGAUGUAGAUAUGGUUAGGACAUGAUUUCAAAUGAUUUCACAUCAUCAUUCACUAACAAUACAAAUAUUUUUUUAUCAAAAAAUUUUCGCAAGCUAAAUAGUAAGAAAGAACAUGAGCAGUGACGAGCUAUGGUAUAAGGAUUCGAUGCACAAUUACAACGAAAACAGAAUAAAAGCGAAGAAAUUGAAACACAAGAUUUAUCUUAUAUCACCAGUUAAGGGGUCACGCACAACAAUAAAUGCUGCUUGGGGGUCGCUUGAGGUCGCACAACUCAAGUGAGGCUGUUUAGGCUGCGUUUGGUUGUGUUCUUUUUUUUUUUUUAAACACUUUUUCUGUUUUUUUGUUCCUGGGAACAAAAAAGGAACAGAAAUGCGUUUGGGUGCGUUUCUGUUCCUUUUUUGUUCUUUUGUUCCCAGGAACAAAAAAGAAAUAGAAACNNNNNNNNNNNNNNNNNNNNNNNNNNNNNNNNNNNNNNNNNNNNNNNNNNNNNNNNNNNNNNNNNNNNNNNNNNNNNNNNNNNNNNNNNNNNNNNNNNNNCCUCGGCCUCGCCUGGCGGUGGCCCCGGCGAGGCCGCGCCUCGCCCGCCGCUGGGCGAGCUCGGCCUCGCCGGAUCAAGGCGAGGCCGACCUCGCGCCGGCCUGGGCGAGCUCGAUCUCGCCCAGAUCCGGUGAGGCCGAGCUCACCCAGCGGCCGGCGAGCCUCGGCCUCGCCGGAUCUGGGCGAGUCGGCGUCGCCUGGCGGUGGCCUGGCGAGGCCGCGCCUCGCCCGCCGCUGGGCGAGCUCGGCCUCGCCGGCCGGUCGCCGGCCAAGGCCUUGGCCGGCGACCGGCCAAAAGAAGAAAAAAAAAUGAAAAAGAAAAAAAGAAAAAAAGGAAAAAAAAGAAAAAAAAAUAGAAAAAAUAAAAGAAAUAAAAAAAUUAUCCAAAUUUACCAAACAUGUUUCUGUUUAUUUUUUAUUUCCGGAACAAGUUUACCAAACGCGUUGUUUUGUUCAAAAAUUGUUCCCCGGAACAGAAACACAUUUUUCUAUUUCUGUUCCCUAGAACAAUUUUUAAACAGAAACACAACCAAACGCGCCCUUAGCAGCCAUAUUCGAUCAUUGGCCGCCGAUGGCUAAACUUAAAGAAAAAAAAUGUAAAAAAAUUUUUUAACAAAAAUUUAUUAAAAGUCCAUUACAAAUGCAAUUUUUAUUGAACAGCAUUUAAACCAAAGUUGUUUUUUGCUGCACUUUAAAAUUAAAAUUCGCCAAACACUAUUUACAUUUCGAAAAAUCCCUUUAAUCCAAAGGUAUUUGCAUUUUCCCAAUAACAUUUUCCAAAAUUAAAUGAAAAGGGAUCUAUAUAUACCCAAUGGCUAUUUAUGGGUAUAAACCCAUGUUUUUAAUAAAAUGCGAGCUCAAACUAUAAAAGCUCCCGAAUUGAGAUUAUGAAUCACGUCCCAAUAUAUAGUAUAUUACGGAGACUGUUGUUGGAGAGGCAAAACUAGCAAAAAAAAUAGGGAUGGAUUUGAGUGGGGCAUAGAGCGGGAGAGAAGUAGUGGCGGAUGGCAACGAAUACUCCGAAUACUCCAGUGGUGGAUGGCGAUGCUUGGGCUAGUCAUUGGUGGCUGCGAUCAGCGAGAGAAGCAAACAAGAAUUAGAGGCGAGAAAGGCAUCUAAAAUGCGAUUCACUCACCCAAAAUGAAAAACAAAAUGAGUUUACUUUCGUUAACAAACUCUAAUUGGUAGCGCCUUAAACAUUUAUCCCAAAGCUUUAGUCUUUUGAAAAAAAAGAUCCCAAAUUAAUACCUCAUGAUAUAUUUAUCCAAACUAAUUUCAUCUCACAAAACAUCCCAAAUUGAUAGCCCUCGCCGAAAUAUAUGCUCUAUUAAAAUGCAUAUAUGUCAACAUAUGUGAAUUUUCCACAUUGGAUCAAUCAUUCUUCACCUCUCAUUCGUCUUAUAGUCAUCUACCAUUUGUGUUGACAAGUAUGCAUUACAAGUAGAUUUUGGUUUGGAAUACCAAUUUGGGGGUUUUUUUUUUCGUUAGAUGAAAUUAAUUUGCAAUAAAUAUGUCAUGUGUUUACUAAUUUGAGAUUUUCUAGUUUUAUUAACCCAAAAAAAAUCAGAAAAAAAGCCAAAAUACCAUGUUAGACGCUUUUUCUUGAAGGACCCUUAAAAUGGGCUUUUCUCAAAUUCUCCAAGAAGUGAGCUAUACCCCAUGCUCAUCAAUGAUGCUAAAAUAUCUAUCCAAUGAGCAUGCGACGGUCACAUGGCCAUCUCCACCAUCAGUUAGGGUUUAAUUCGUCCCAAAACUUCCAUUACCCUCAAAAUUACUCACGUGAAGUCCCAUAAAUUGCACAAAAUAAGCCCCCAAAUCCCGGUAAUGUGUCAUUUAAAAGCUUGUUUUGUAUAAUUUAUGAUGGUAUAAAUUUUGUUCCACACACAGUGCACCCAAAAUCAACCAAGCUUUUCCGAUUCGAUGAACAACAUAUUGGCUAAAAUUGAUAUAAAAAUUGGACGAAAGAGAAGAUCGCAUUCGGAAGGCGCCAUAUCUGCACUCACUAGGUCUAAAUUAUGAUAUUUCACUAAAAGGUACUAUGCCACCCAAAUUAUCAAAUACACUGAAUAGAAAACAAUCAAUGCUUUAAUAUAGAUGUGGCAUAUUGUUCUUCGGAAAGAGAAAAACGAAUAUUGUCUUCUUCCUCUCUUGCUCUUUUCUCAAGUUGAAUAAUAACAUGUCGUAUUCAAAUACAAGAUAAUUAUCUCUUUUAUCCGACCAAUCUCCUUUUUUGAAGCCAUGAUAGCUUGUUUUGAGGAGAGUGGUCCCUUAUACAUAAGGGUGAGCGAUUCUGGAUUUUUUAUAGGUUCCACCUGGAACAUCGAACAUACCUACUAAAAUAAGUUUAUUAUUUUUUGGAACCUAAAACCUAUCCCACAUACCUUAAAACCUAGAAUCUACCUUGUUGUAUGUUCCAAGGUCGGUUCCAAGUUCUUCCCAGGUUUCACUUGUAUUAUUAAUUGAAUGAUUACAAUGCAUCAUUUUUAAAGACCACUACUCAUUGUUACAAUUCACUGACCACAACUUAUAUUUGGAUACAUGAAUAAUAUGAAACAUUAACAAAAUAAAAAAUUUCAGUCAUAAAAUGAAAACUCAUACUAGUGAUUCAAUAGACACCGUGGAAUACUAUAGAAUUAUAAGAAGACAUAAACAAACAAAAAUACACAUUUGUUCUAGCUUGUACCUACCUGGAAACUGGAAUCUAUUAUCUAAAUAAAUUCAUCAAUUUUUGAAACUUGAAACCUACCCUAUAUACCUUGAAACUUAGAACUAGACAAGUUCCCACUAAUUUGGUUCUUCAGUUCUAGGAUCUACCUUGAAACCAUGCUCACCCCUACUUAUACACACUACAUAUUCUCUUAGAAAGAACUUCAAAGAACAUGGGUUGGGUUUAUUGAGUCGAUCCAUUUUGGGUAGACUUGAUCUAAUAUCCAAUAGGCCCGGAUUUGAAAAUGCUAUUGCAUAGAGCAAACGGUACCACCACAGUGAUUAGUAGUGAUGGUACUAGUGAGCUGUUUCUUUUGGCUGUUUCUUUAGAUAUCUCAUGUAUUUUGUGAGCACCAAUGAGUGAUCUCAUGUGAUGCAUGUGAAUGCAACGGUUUACGUAAAUUUGGGAGUACUAAUCAAGCUAAAAAUUGAAUAAUUCAAUGUUAUGCAAGAUAGAAUGUAAAAAGAGAAAAACAAAAACAAGGAUUCAACGAAUGAGCAAGGGAAUCAAGAAUCUCCUUUGAUUAAGUUUGUCUAGAGUUGUUGGAGUCAACGAAAGAUAACUCCGGAGAAAUAGACGAGACAUAAAUGAGAGUACAAGAUGAAAAAGAACGAGCAACAUAAAUGACAUACAAAUGAACAUUGAGAGGCAAUUGAAACGUGAUAAAACUCUCGUUAAUUCCAAAAAAUGAAAAAUCGGAAUUACCGAUGAUCUGUGAAAGAUGGACAAAUUUGUGUGUGUUCAAAUUGUACAAUUGUGUGCGACGGUUGUCCAAGUAGUAGAAACAACACGUUAGCCAAAGAAAAAGGACAAAUUGCAAACUAAAGAAAUAUUUUGAAUUACUUAAACAGGUCAAAUUGCAUUUGCGUUGUUUUCAUUCUGUAUACAAACAGCUAGAAGCUUUUAAGAUUAUUUAUGCAUUGGAACCAUGGAAGAACAACAAAAUAUCAAAUUGCGUUCUUCUUCUUUUUUUCAUUCUAUAUACAAACAGCUAUAAGCUUUUGUUUAUGCAUUGGUGCCAUGGAAGAAAGGUUGAUAUGCUAAUCGUAGGGGAAAACCUAUUGCGCACAAUUGCUAUAAAUAGUCAGGACUAGGGCGAAAAAAAAUUAAGGUAUAUCACAUUAUGGAUACUCCUUCAAGAGUUGGAAUUAUGCUAAUGUUGUCCCUCUUGAUAUUCAAUGUUGUCAAAGGUGCCCCGCGCACCGGUAUAGUUAAUAGGGCUUGCAAUACCGGCUCCUAUUCGAGCGACAAUCCUUAUGCAAACAACAUGACUUACAUUCUCGAGGACAUGGUGACCGUGACACCAAAUCACGCGGACUACGACUACUCUACCACAUCUCCUUAUACCGUGGCAGCCGCCUACGGUCUCGCAACUUGUAGCCAAGCACUUUCUUACAGCAAUUGUGGCAAAUGCACGGGCUCCGUUAAAUCCCCAAUACUGGCGAUAUGUCCAAACAGUGGACAUGUCUUGGCACUCAAGUGAAGCUUGAACAUUGUAGAAUGAGGUAUGAAAACUACUUAUUCAACGGUUACGUAGUUUGGCGCCAAACAUAGAGAACCUUGUUUGAAUGGCAACAAACCCAGAACAUGCGUUGCUUAAGUUUGUUGAAGAAUAAGUCCUUUAGUCACGUAUCUUGAUUUCUGUUGUGCGUGGUUGUUUCUACUAUACAUGUUGUCAUAUUUAUUGUGGGAAAUGAUAUUGUUUCCUAUACUUUCUUUGUUAUUUUAAAGUUUUCAAAUUGUUUUUUUUUUUUUUUCAUGACGAGAAGACCUAAGCAAGCAGCUAAAAGUUAACGACUAUUAUGAAAAAUCAAACUUGCAUUGUGCAUCUAAGCUACACCCACAUCAUUGGGUUUGUUCCUAUGAUACUUAAGAGAGAGUCUUCAAGAGACGGCAGUUGGAGACACGCACAAAAGAGGACGUGCAAGAUAGUGCAAAACCAGAAGUCUAAAUCAAUAGAAGGAAACGCUACCUAAUGGCUAACAGAAAUGGCCACGACCUUGCUAAAACCGCUUGUGAAUUUACCAUAUAUGUUGAACUCUUAGCACAAUCCUCGAUGAAAUUCAGAAAGAAACAACCAUGACUUUGCCCCCAGUUUUUGCAUAAGAAUCACUACCCGAAAUCACUAAGGAGGUCAAGAACGUGUUUACAGCAUACAGUAUAGAUGCCGCACAAGGAUUCAGUCAUUUCAAUGCCAAGAAAAUAUCUCAAGGAAGCCAAAUCAGCCAAAUAGAAACUAUGUUAAAUCAGUUACUGAUCAUAAGAUAUAAGUGUAUUCAACAAAAACCAAGAUAAGUACAGAGGAUGAGCUAAUGCAUGAAAUGCAAAAUGGACUUAUCAGCAUAAGAUUGAAGCAAACCAGCAUCCACUAAUGCAGUAGGAGAUGCUUAAUAAACCAACUUUCUUUGAAGAUUUUACGAGUCAUCAUAAAAGUGGAAUUGCUUCAGUUGCUAAGCCCAUGAGCCUGCUUUUUUAAAUCAGGAAAUAGACAAAAGAGACAGCCAAAGAGUUGAUCCUCUUGUGACAUACGCACAACUUCAAAUUAUUUUUUCUGGCUUCGAUUGAUCAUGUCUCCCACAGUAUCCAAUCGUGAACUUAGCUCAAAGACUGGUCUCCAAAAUGCUUGUGCGCUACUAUGAUUGGGUCAGCAAACAAAGAGUAGAGGGCAUGAAGAGAGGCAGAUGGUCCAGGCAAGUCCCCCUGUUGUAAGUGAGAAACUUAAAAAACAAACAGAAAAAUGUGUUCCCGAGUGAGUAAUUAAAACAGAUAAAAAUGCCAAGGAAUGUACCUCCAUUGAGAGCCAACCCUAUUGAUCGGCAAAGUAAUUCAAUUAAUGCAGUGGAAAAGACAAUGGAAUUUAAAUCAUCUGGGCCUGACUGCGAUGAAGUUGAUUGUUGUUCUCAAGACCUCUAGCAUUGGGAAUGUUUGUCGAUGGUGUUCAUGUUCACCCAUCAUCAAAUGCUUUUUGGAAAAUCCCUUGCAGUGCAAAGGGGAAGAUACUUCAAGUAGCUUUCAUACACUUGCAGCCACGUUCCUCACUCAGCAAGCCAUCCCUAUGUUAUUUGCACGUAAGAAGCUGAGCAAAUAAACCAAAUAUGUAAUCGACCUGUGGUGAUAAUCUGAGUACACAGCUAGACCCAAAUAUUCUCCACUACCGAUUCAAAUACCAUCCACUUCACGGUAUGCCUCUUCUUUGAACUAUCUAUGGUGAAUAGGACAUUGUAAGGAUCAGAUUGUGAAAAAAGAAAGUUUAUAACAGAAAACUAGGAUCUCUCUCUCAAAGCACAUACACAAUAGGCUAAUCAGGAUUUAUGACAGAAUAUACUUCAUUACAAAGUAAAGUUGUUGCAAUUAACAUCUAUUUAAUUCAAUAUCAUCCUUAGACUGCUUAAUCAUUUGUAUGAAUUUCACCCGUUUGAAUAACAUUAGGCACCAAAAGCACUAACAGACGAGUAAACAUACCAGUUAAAUACAGAGAUUUUGUACUGAACCUAGAUAUACAAGGAUCAAAAUCCACCUUCCACCCCUCCAAAUAUUUGCCAUCUUGGCGGGUUCGAUAUAGUGAACUGUCUCCCAGAUUUAAAACAACUUCAUUAAUGGGACAUGAGACUCAGUGAGAUGACGAUUGGAAGAAAAAUUGGCGGUAAUCUGAUUUACUCUGCAUCACAUUUCAGACGAAAAAGUGGACAGAUCUCAGAGACAAUGGAGAGUUCUACUAGAAAAGGAAGAAGUUCCAUCUUUCACGAGAUAUUUGACCCACAACUCCAUCGUUGCUACAUCUGCAGAAAAACCCCUGUCAACCAUUUCACUGACAAGUUGCACGGCUCUAGUACUUUUGUUAUUUCUUAGUAGUCCUUGGAUUAUUGUGUUAUAAUUGACCCCAUCUGGAAAUCAUCCAUUUCCUUCCAUCUCCUUUAGGAGCUGAUAUGCUUCCUCUGUACGUCCUCCUUUGCACAACCCAUGCAUGAGAAUGUUACAUGUCGACAUGUUAGGUUGCAAGCCUCGAGCAUGCAAAGAAUCAAACAGCCCCUUAGCAUCGUCGAGCUUUCCGGCAUUACACAUGCUAUUCAUUAUAAUAUUGUAAGUCACAAUGUUUGGGACGAAUUUGGAACCUUCCAUCUUUUGAAGCAAUGUCAUGGCCUUGUCAAUCUGUCAUGUUUUACACAAGCCAUCCAGGAAAGAAUUCAAGGUAUAAUGAUUUAGAUACAGAUCAUGAGAUCGCAUCUCGUUAAUUAGCUCCCCCGCGGCUUCUAGGUUCCCAACCUGGCAAUAUCCACUUAUGAGAGUGUUGUACGUGAUGACAUCAGGAUUCAAGCCCCUUUCAAGCAUUUCUUGGAACAGUAUUUUUUAUUUGUCAAUUCUUUUCACUUUGCAGUAUCCGUUAAUCAACAUGUUAUAGGUAACAACAUUAGGUGAGCAGCCUCUUUCAACCAUCAAAUUAAGAACCACCAGAGCAUCAUCCAUCCUAUUUUGCAAACAAUAACCGUUCAACAAUGCAUUGUAAGUGACACUAUCAGGCAUUUUACCUAAUUGAAUCAUCCGGUUGAUUAUGGCCUCUGCCUCUACAAGCAUUCCCUCUUUACAAUGUGCAUCCACCAGAAUAUUGAAGGUUUGAACAUUCGGCAUGACUCUGCUUUGCACCAUAUGACUCAGCAGUCUUUGGGACUCUUUCAAUUGGCCGGAAUUGCACACUCCUUGAAUGACAGAGGUAUAAGUAACGACAUCCGGUUCAAUUCCUGCCUCCAUCAUCUUCUCCAUCCAGACCGUCGCAUCUUUCCAUUGGCCUAGCUUGCACAAGUAAUGAACCA